UCUAAAUUUUUCUAAAAUUGAGAUCUACAUGUUAAAAAUAUCCACAUGUACUGUUCAUGCUUGUUUAUGUGCUGUUUUGGUGAUUUUGCUCUUUUCUGCUUAGAUUCCGUCGUUUCCGGAGAGUCCGUUUUCGUCGGAGAAGAGUUUGAAGAGUUCCAAGGCCAGCAAGGCAAGUCACACAGAUCCCAAACAACCCUUUGAGCAUGUUGAUCCUAUUUAAAGCUAUUGUUUCUAUUCAACUAUUGCAUUUAUUUUCGAAUGUCAUUGGGUGGAAUUAACCUAUUCAUUGUUAUAGCCCUUUUGUUCUUGAUUACUUUAUUCCUUGAUACCUUGGGUUAUUAUAAUUUGACUAGUUGAGCUUUAUGUAUAUUGGUUCAACUAGAUAUUAGAUAUAAUUGCUUAGCCCUGCUUAGAAACAUUAGCACACUUAUGGGAUAACUUAUGACUCACUAUUAUUUAAUGAUGGCUUAAUGAUAGUUCACGAUGGACAAUCGUGAUUGGUUAAUUAACUAAUGUGCCAACUAAAACCUGGUAAUGGUGGGUUGUGAGCACAUGGUUUUGAUGGUCGUGCUCAUGACAAUUAAGGACCGGUUCACGAGUUUCGGUUGUGAAACAUUUAUCGUGCCAACCACAAGCCAGCAUGGGCAACGGCUUUAUCUUUUGUAUAGCAUGGUUCAUUGCGGGGCACCAGACUGAGAAGUGGCGGAGAUAAGCCCACGGGGGUCGCUGGGGAGUCCAUGCCUUGUUUAUAAGGGGGUGAUUAUGAUCCAGGAAGGUGCGCUGCAGUGGAUUGUGUUGUAUGAGGGGUAUUGUCACAACUCCUAUCCGAGGUACCGUGGUGGUAUUGAGGCACAUGGUGACAUGAUGUGGGGUUGUGUCUUGUGGGUACAGUGGUACACCUCUGAUCAGAGUAAAACUAUUCGAAUAGCCGUGCCCGCGGUUAUGGGCGGGUCUAACAAUGUCUUUCGUGAUUAGUCUCACACUUCUCACCAUAGUAAAUGAUGCUUAAAUUGGUAAUAAUUUGAUUAGCUCCUGGUUUGGAAUGGUACAUUCCUGGUUUGGAGAUAGACCUGUGCAGCCGGGAUGGUUGUUCAGAAUGGAUGGGCCUAUAUAACAGGGUAUGUUGUAUAGCGUUGGAUUAAUAUUGCUUAAUUAAUACUUAACUGUUUUAUUAAAUUCUCAAAUGUUUGCUAAAUGCUGCUUUUGCAAAUGGAUCCCUAUUACGCCAUCCUUUGUUAUCCUGUGCACUUGCAUAUUUGCUGCGUGACUUGCUGAGUAUGUGAUAUACUCACCUUGCAAUCAUUCAUCGGAGGAAGAGUUCUACAAUGAGGCUGAUGCUGUGGAGGAUUAGGUGUAGCCUUGGUCAAGCUGCCUGUGGAGUGGAGCCGUCUGCGCCGUUUAUUUAUUUUCCGCUGCUUAGAUCUUUAUUGAUUGAGAGGAACUAUCUACCUCUGUAAUGACAUUUUAUUCGCUUAUUAAUUAGAGUAAUAAUUGUACUCUAUUAUCAAUUUGUUAUUGUGCCUCGGCUGAUUCCUGGACGAGGGUUCACACACAUGUAAGCGUUUGGAAUUUUGGAUAGAAAUUCCGGGCGUGACAAAAUCGACGAGGAGCUGCGGCAAUGCUGCGACGAUUGCAACCUUCGGUCUCCUUUGGCGUGCAGACUGCUUGACAAACCUGUAAUCCCCUUCGGUCACCUCCACAGAAACUGCACAAAUUGGAGAUUUGAUAUUGAGCCGUAGAUUUUGGUGUAGGCUUCACCGGGCUCAACCAGAAUUCACCAUGGAGUUCGUCGUUGUAUCUGAGGAGCUUGAGCUCAAUCCGAACAACAAACUGUGGAGAUUAUGGAUACCCCAUAUCUACACGGCGGUUAUAUUUAGACUGGUAAUAGGAUACCGAAUAUAGAUAUAAUAUCUUUAUUUGUAUCUCGGGUUUGUUUCUUAACUUGUACGUCAAGGAAAUACCCUGAGGUUUAGUCGGUUACGAUUGUAUUUUAUCUGUAUUCUCGUAUUCUGUUAGGGGUAUGAGUUAUACCUUAUAAUACGGACUCCUUCCUCUAUAUAAGGAGGGGUCCGAGUCCUUCCUGGGACAUCAAUUUUCUAGGAGAUCUUACAUUCAAUAAUACACUCGGUGGUUUCAUCCCCGGACAGGAGUAGGGUAUUACUUCUUGAAUAAGAAGGCCUGAACCUGUAUAAAUCCUUUGUCUCCAAACCCAUCCACUUUUCCAGCUUGAUAGCCACCCCCUUUUAGUAUUGCCGAAAUCUUGUUUCGACAGUUGGCGCGCCAGGUAGGGGUUGCGUCAAGCUUUUCGCCGAUCAGUGCAAUGGGUUCCGUCUCCGGCAUCGACGACCUCGUCUUCCCACCCGGGCAGGCGUUUCGGUUCGGCAGCCUCGAGUUCAUCACCAAUGACUUCGGCAAGAUCUCUCUCCUCGAUUCGGAAUUGGACCAGUCGGGAGAGAGCCGGAUCUCGGUCCCGUUUGGAGUUCCUAACGCGGCUGAAAUAUACUCCAAGUCCAUCUCAAUCGAGUCGGCUUCAAACCACUCGGACGAGAUCGCAUCUUCUCCAACGUCAUCAGAUCGAGAUGAUGGGGCUUACCCACCGAUUCUAAUGAAGCUCCCCGACGAUUUGGCGGCCGUCUUCACCACCAUGACGUCCCCAUCCCGUAGGCCUAGGCGGAGGUCGGCUUCAACACCGAUAUCGCAUAGCUCCAGGGAAGUUGGCGUCAUCUUCCAGCCACUCGGCUCAGUUUCGACGGACCAGCUGGAUGGCUACUGGAGCUCUCCCGCCGUCGACUCGCGUCCGACCGAGAUCGUGGACUACAAUGAGUUCGGCUUUCACAACAACGACCCAGAUCUCGACGACUUCGAUGAAAGCUUAGAAGACAACUACACCCCUCUCUAUUUCGGCGUCUUUAUGGCCGAUAACGAGACGGAGGAGCAACGCCAAGCCCGGGAAACCGAAGCACGACGCGAGGCCGAGCGGCGCCGACUGGAGGAGGAACGUGAAGCACAAGAACAAGAACGGCUACGGCGUGAGCAACAGGAGCGUGAGCGGGCCGCAAAGGAGGCUGAAGACCGGCGGCUACGAGCCUUGGAAGCAGGGCACCGAGCGCGAGAUCUUAUCGGCCAACAAGACGUUGAGGGGACACCGGUUUUCCGCACCCCACAACAGAAUGCUGUUGCCGCGAUCACCCUCCUCGACACCCUCCUCAAGGAGAACGAGCUCAAUCAGUCUGACCACGUCGUCAACAUCUUGAACCAGACCAAGACCAUGAUUGCGGCUUCGGUCCCAGUUAACUCCGGAAGCGUCCGCACGUCGAGUGGCAGCUGAGUCCCCCAUCUUCGAUCUCACGACUACCACCAGCCAAGCCUUAGCAUCACUGGCGCAGGAUCUAAUCGCAGGAGCAGGGGUCACGACGAGUGAUCUGUCCACUCGCCUCCCGACCAUCAUAGGGAGCGCCGAGUGGAAUGACCUCGUUCGCCACCUCGUCGUCGCCCCGUCGAUCUUUGCGACACGAUCAUACAGCGCCGGGCAGCCCGAGGCCAUCAUCAUUCGCUAGAUCGCCACGACGACGACCUAGACGGAGUUGCCGCUUUCACCAACGACCUGCGUCGAGUGGAUUGGCCAGCCGGCUUUAAGCCGACUGGAAUAGAGAAGUAUGACGGUUCCACCAACCCGGAAUCAUGGCUUACCGUCUACGGUCUCGCAAUCCGCGCAGCAGGAGGAGAUAGCAAGGCCUUGGCGAACUAUUUACCAGUGGCUUUAGCAGAUUCCGCCCGGUCCUGGCUCCAUGGAUUGCCCCGUGGUACAAUCGGAUCUUGGGCCGAAUUACGCGACCACUUCAUCGCCAACUUCCAAGGCACUUUCGAGCGCCCCGGCACACAAUUCGAUCUUUACAAUGUUAUUCAGAAGUCCGGAGAAUCUCUUCGAGAUUACAUCCGGCGAUUUUCUGAACAAUGCAACAAGAUCUCUGACAUCACCGACGAUGUUAUCAUCGCCGCAUUCACCAAAGGAAUUCGCCACGAAGAAUUGGUCGGCAAGUUCGGGCGUAAGCCUCCCAAAACAGUCAAACUUAUGUUUGAAAAAGCCAACGAGUACGCCAAGGCUGAAGACGCCGUCAUCGCAUCAAAGCAGUCGGGCUCCAGUUGGAAGCCAAAAAAGGAUACACCGGCUACGGGAGGGGGUGGAAGAUCAUCAAAGCGUUCGCGCGUCAACACGUUCGACAAGAUCAUGAACUCCCAAUGCCCGCAUCAUCCUAAGUCCAACCACGCGGCCAAAGAUUGUUUCGUCUACAAGCAGUUCGCGGAACAAUACACCAAGACUACACGGAAGAACUCCGACGAAAAACAAAGCACGUCGAAGAAGAAGGACGAUGGCGACCCCCCGGCAGGUUUCUAAGACCACCGCAAGGAGCUUAACCACAUCUUCGGCGGCCCCUUGGCUUAUGAAUCUAAAAGAAAGCAAAAGUUGACUGAACGGGAGAUUAACGCUGUUCAGCCCAACAUACCCCAAUAUCUUCGAUGGUCAGAGACAGCAAUCAAGUUUGACCGCUCGGAUCAUCCCGACCGAGUGGUCCACCCGGGGCGAUACCCACUGGUACUAGACCCAGUGGUCCGUAAUGUCAAGCUUCGCAGAACCCUCAUCGACGGUGGCAGUGCACUAAAUAUCCUCUUCGCCAAAACCCUGGAUGAUAUGCAGAUUCCUCGCUCCGAGUUAAGACCAAGCAAUGCGCCUUUUCACGGAGUCAUCCCAGGGUUAUCUGCAACUCCACUCGGCCAGAUCACCCUUCCGGUCACCUUUGGCACUCGGGAAAACUUCCGCACGGAGAAUAUCUGCUUCGAAGUCGCCGAUUUCGAGACAGCAUACCACGCCAUACUCGGACGUCUGGCGUUAGCCAAGUUCAUGGCCGUCCCGCACUACACUUACAUGAUGAUGAAGAUGCCCGGUCCCCGAGGAGUCCUAUCCCUACGGAGCGACAUCAAGCAAGCCGUCACAUGCGAUAAGGAAAGUUGCGAGAUGGCCCAGACUCGCGAGAUGGCGUCUGCCCGAGAAGAUAUCCGACUGGCUGCGACCACGGCAGGCGAAGGAGAAGUGCCUGCGACCAAGGUCUCGAAGAGCGGAGAAAGCGAUGCUAAGACUAAAAAGAUUCCCCUAGAUCCUUCUGAUCCCACUAAAACUGCUGUAAUAGGCGCCGAGUUAGAUUGUAAAUAGGAAAGCGCGCUCGUCACCUUUCUUCAAAAUAAUAAAGAUAUCUUUGCGUGGAAACCAUCUGAUAUGCCUGAUAUUCCUAGAGAGGUGAUUGAGCACUCCUUGCACGUCAAAGAAGACGCUAAACCUAUUAAACAACGACUCCGCCGCUUCGCACAAGACAAGAAGGAUGCGAUCAAGGAGGUAUUAACCAAGCUGUUAGCAGCAGGCUUCAUUAAAGAAGUCCUUUAUCCCGACUGGCUGGCUAACCCGGUCCUAGUUCGGAAGAAAACUGGGCAAUGACGUAUGUGUGUCGAUUAUACCGACCUCAACAAGUCUUGCCCUAAAGAUCCUUUUGGGUUGCCUCGCAUUGACCAGGUAGUCGAUUCGACCGCCGGCUGCGAGCUACUCAGUUUUUUGGAUUGCUACUCGGGGUAUCAUCAGAUCCGACUGAAGGAAUCCGACUGCUUGAAGACUUCAUUCAUCACGCCCUUCGGGGCCUAUUGCUACAUCACCAUGCCAUUCGGACUAAAAAAUGCAGGAGCAACUUAUCAACGCAUGAUUCAGAGAUGCUUCUCGACGCAAAUUGGCCGCAAUGUCGAAGCUUACGUGGAUGAUGUAGUUGUCAAGACUAAGCAGAAGGAUGAUUUAAUCUCGGACCUAGAAGAAACCUUCGCAAGCAUCCGCGCUUUCAGGAUGAAACUAAACCCUGAAAAGUGCACCUUCGGAGUACCGUCAGGGAAGCUGCUUGGUUUUAUGGUGUCUCAUAGAGGCAUACAAGCCAACCCGGAGAAAGUCAACGCUAUCCUCAACAUGAAACCGCCAAGCUCCCAGAAAGACGUCCAGAAGCUGACUGGAUGCAUGGCGGCGCUCAGCCGAUUCGUUUCACGACUUGGCGAGCGGGGGAUGCCCUUCUUCAAGAUAUUAAAGAAAACAGACAAUUUCCAGUGGGGACCCGAAGCACAGAAGGCUUUCGAAGACUUCAAGAAACUCCUCACCGAGCCACCAGUCUUAGCCUCGCCACACCUACAGGAGCCGUUGCUACUAUACGUAUCAGCCACCUCCCAGGUUGUGAGUACAGUCUUGGUCGUCGAACGUGAGGAAGAAGCCCAUGUCCAAAAAGUCCAGCGACCGAUCUACUUUGUCAGCGAGGUCCUAGCCGACUCCAAAACGAGAUAUCCUCAGGUUCAGAAGCUGUUAUACGGUAUUCUGAUUACUACCAGGAAAUUAUCCCACUACUUCCACGGUCACUCGGUAACGGUGGUUACAUCGUUUCCGCUCGGCGAUAUACUGCACAACCGCGAAGCAAACGGACGGAUUGCUAAAUGGGAUUUGGAGUUGAUGUCUUUGGACAUAUCCUUCAAGCCCCGAACCUCAAUCAAGUCCCAAGCAUUAGCCGACUUCGUCGCCGAAUGGACCGAGUGCCAGGAGGAUAUUCCCGCAGAAAAGAUGGAGCACUGGACCAUGCAUUUUGACGGAUCAAAAAGGCUUUCGGGCACUAGAGCGGGAGUGGUUCUAAUUUCCCCAACCGAAGAAAGAUUAAGUUAUGUGCUUUGGAUACAUUUUUCCACAUCCCACAACGUCGCAGAGUAUGAGGUGCUCCUCCAUGGACUACGGAUCGUGAUUUCCCUAGGGAUCAAGCGUCUAAUAGUUCGAGGGGAUUCACAGCUAGUCGUCAACCAAGUUAUGAAAGAGUGGUCCUGCAUUGACGACAACAUGACAGCAUAUCGACAAGAGGUACGCAAAUUGGAAGACAAGUUCGAUGGACUCGAGCUUAGUCACGUUCUCCGACACAAUAACGAAGCCGCCGAUAGACUUGCCAACUUUGGAUCCAAGCGCGAGGUGGCCCCCUCCGAUGUAUUCGUCGAACACCUUUAUGAGCCGACCGUACCUCAGAAAGAAACAACUCAAGUUGCGGACACUCAAGACAUAGCCAUGAUUGAAGCCGACUGGAGAGAGCCCCUCAUACGAUUUUUAACUUCUCAAGAACUCCCUCAAGAUAAAGAUGAAGCCGAGCGGAUUUCAAGGCGAAGUAGGCUUUAUGUUAUUCAUGAAACCGAGUUAUACAAGAAAAGACCUUCAGGAAUUCUGCAACGCUGCGUAUCUCUAGAGGAAGGGAGACAAUUGUUGAAAGACAUACAUUCUGGAAUAUGCGGAAACCAUGCCGCCGCACGCACCAUUGUCGGCAAAGCUUACCGGCAGGGUUUUUUCUGGCCUACUGCAGUAUCCGACACCGACAAAAUUGUGCACACGUGCGAAGGUUGCCAAUUUUUCGCCAGACAAAUCCAUCUACCAUCUCAAGAGUUCCAAACAAUCCCACUGUCUUGGCCGUUUGCGGUUUGGGGGCUCGACAUGGUUGGCCCGUUCAAAAAGGCAGUCGGCGGUUACACGCAUCUCUUUGUGGCCAUUGACAAAUUCUCCAAGUGGAUUGAAGCUAAACGGGUUGUCACAAUCACAGCAGAUAAAGCUCGAGAUUUCUUCAUCAACAUUGUGCAUAGGUUUGGAGUGCCUAAUCGGAUUAUCACCGAUAAUGGCACACAAUUCACUCGCGGAGUUUUUAACGACUUUUGCGAAGACUUCGGAAUUAAAAUUUGCUAUGCCUCAGUAGCGCACCCGAUGAGCAACGGACAGGUCGAACGAGCCAACGGCAUGAUACUUCAAGGGAUAAAAGCGCGAGUUUUUGACCGGCUAAAACCCUAUGCUGGAAAAUGGGUGGAACAGCUGCCAUCAGUACUUUGGUCUUUGCGUACUACACCUAGUCGGGCCACAGGCCAGUCACCUUUUUUCCUUGUCUACGGGGCAGAAGCAAUAUUGCCUAGUGAAGUUGAAUUCGAAUCUUUGCGCUUUCACAAUUUUCGCGAAGAACGCUACGAAGAGGACCGAGUGAAUGAUCUGCACCGAUUGGAAGAAAUCCGCGAAGCAGCUUUAAUUCAGUCGGCCCGAUAUUUACAAGGGUUGCGACGCUAUCAUAAUCGCAACGUUCGAUCACGAGCUUUUCUAGUCGGCGACCUGGUUUUGAGGAAAAUCUGUCACGACCGGGAAAAUUGCCUUUUCCCGAACGCUAGUGUAUUAAUCCCCGUCCCAGGAAAAGCCGGGGUACACCACACAAACAUGAUAUAAAAGACACAUCUUUAUUAUAUCGAUAAUAUUUACAUUAUUACAAAGGCGCUUCAGGCCUGACAAUCAAAAAUAAACAGCAGCGGACUAGCGGGCCUACGGCUCCAUCUCCACAGGCGCUCAACUGGGGUAUAAGCCAGGACUCCACCUAAGACAUCUUCUCCAAAGCUUCUCUUACUGAAGAGGGGAAAGAUUGAGCAAGAAUGAGUACAACCACAGUACUCAGCAAGUCACACCGGCAGAUGCAUGAUUAAUGCAAGGGGGGGUACAAGGGGAUAAUAAUAUCGGGGUUAAGUUUUGCAGAAAACAGCAUUUAAAAGUCACUUAGUUGCCCAAAGCCAUUUUAUAAAGACGAUCCUAGAGUUACACAGUAUUAUUAAACAAGGCCGUGAACCCUCACGAACCUGCCUUAACCCAAGGCCUACGAUGAUUCAGACCGAACUGGCAACCCGACCCUGGGUCCCAGCUCGUCCCAAGCCAACCCAGGCCAACCAUUCCACAUUUUAGUUGUUGAGCAAAUUUUAAGAAUUAAAACACUGACUUGGGUACAUUGCUCGGCUUGCCCAUAACCGAGGGCGCGGCUAUUCGAAUAGAUUAUACUCUGAUCAGAGGUGUACAUCUUUACCCACAAGACACAUCUUCCUCACGUGCAACCACGUGCCACAUACCACCACGGUAUACAGACGGAAGAUAUGACAUAGUUUCCAACCCAUCCUAGCCAUAGACAAGAGUACCGACCCAAUCCCACCUACGGCCGGAACCUCCGGGACAGGCAGGCAGGACUGAGCCCCUAGCAGCAGGGCACCAACCCUGUGCCAUGACAUCUCGACUACCGGGCCGCAGCUCGUGUAGCCUUCAUUUGUCCUAGAGAAUGUCCAUCGACCCCCGACUUCAUCCAUCUCCAUCCGUGUACUUUUGUUUAUGACCAGACUGAGCCACAAACUAAGCCUUACCCACUAGACAUGUGGAAGUACGGUAGUGCUUUGCAACAGAGGCCCGAGCUUAAUCCUUAUAGUGGCCGGGGUGCUACUUCCCACAACUGGCAUGCACCCAAACCCCACCGAAAACAGGUUUUAGGGGUUUUGAAAGAGGAAGAGAGGUGUAUGUCCAAUUCCACCAUAAACCAACAAUUCCAUAGUAUCCAAAUGAUAUGAGAAUUCCCAACGUCUAAAGUUGUAAAACCACCUAAUAUUGCCUAAUUAAUCAGCGAAGCAUCUACCUAAAUUCAUACUAGUGGAACCAUGAAUAGAGUACCCACUAGUUGGGGUUUUGUUUAUCCUAGGGUGAACAAGGUAAUAAUAACAAUAGCAAUAAUAAUGCCUUAACAAAGGUAAAUAGGCAUGGCUAAAUAAAACAGUGAUAACGCGGGAAUUUAAAUAAAGCGAUAAUGCAUUAAUUUAAAUAAAAAUAAUUUUAUAAACUGGGAUUCAAUAUGCUCAAGGAUGAUGUGACUUGCCUUGCUCAGAGGGAACGGCCUUCCGAACCUUCGGCGACGACCACGAACCACGCUUCGGGAACCUCCGGGACGACGAAAGUUACGCGAAGCACACAAGCAAAGCUACAAGCCUACAAAGAAGCAAUAACAAUACAUAAAAAGAAAGCACAGGGUUCUUUAGGUUAUAACAAACAUUAGGAGACUUGAACGGGUCGAUUCGGAGUUCGUAUGACCAAGAUAUGAUCAUCCGAAGUUUAAUGCUGUUAUAUGGGGAUUUGCGGAUUAUUAUAAUUAAGCUUUGCAACUAUAAAAUAUGUGUAAGCGCUAGCCUGGAAAAGACAGGAAGGCUGCGCCGUUGACAUGCAGACCCCACAUGUCAACCUAAAGGACCGCGGUAGACCGGGUACACAGAGACGGUCCACGGGUCGAUGGAAGUGGACCCCGUGUGUCAACCGAGGCGAGUGGCCGACAAACGGACUCCACUAGACACCACACGGCCUGCACACGUGGAAACCACGCGGCUACCGAGCGGGCACACUAACGCGGACACUACACGGUCACCACCCGCACGCGUGAACGACUACCGACACCGGUACACGGGUACCGGGGCCGACAACCGCACAACGAGCACGGGCGACACCGAAAGGACGAGGACGGGGCAGCGAGGGAGAGGGAUCCUUACCACCACGCGACGAGGCGUGGGGACGACAACGACGAACGGGCGCGGCGGAGACAGCUCGGGGACGACGGAGGCGAACCGCGAGGGAACGACUUCGGCGGCGAUCCUUGGACGAAGGCGAGACGCGGCUGGCACAAGGCUUGACGACGCGGAGCUGAGGACGAAGACGAGGACGGGGCUGCCGCGGCUUGCUUGACUGAUGCGGACGACGGAUGAGAACGGCUCGACGGAGGGACGAACGCCACGACGACCAGGAAUGACGAGAGGACGACGACGACGACGACCGGGGCCGGCGAGGAGGCGACGAGGGCAGCCGGCAGCGGCUGCACGAAUGCGAGGAUGGCGUGGAACACGCCGCAGCGAUGACGAUGACGGAGGCGGCGCCGCGAGACGACGAGCCGGCGAGGAUGAACGGGCGGCCGAAGGGACGUCGGCGACGAUGAGGAUGGAGAGGCCAGCACGGGCGACGGUGUUCCGGCGAAACAGAGGAGCAGCUGGAGGAGAGGACAACGCGGCGACGUCGAUCGGCGUACCGGCGACGUACAGGAGCCGGCCGGAGGCGGGGAGGUACUGGACGCCGACGUGGAGGCCACUCCGGCGAGCUUCGAGCGAGGAGGAGGUGAUGCCGGGGAUGAGGGCGGCGUCGCGGAGCCGAGGGAGGUGGUGGCGACGUCGGCCGGCGCACGGGAAACGCGACAGUGGCGGCCGGAGGUGGAACAGUGGCGGCAACGCCACUGUUUUGCCGGCGAGGACGCGUCUCCGGUGCUUUCCCGCGAAACGGAGGGCUGACCGAGGGAGAGGAGGUGGCUGCGAGGCCGAGGGAGAAGACGGCGCGGCCGGACGGCGCUCCGGCGAGGAGGGAGAGGCGGCUGGAGGCGGCCGGCGCGGAGGAAAGAGAAGGGCGAUGGCGGGAACGCGCCUCCGGCGGUCACCGUGCGAAACGGAGGGCAGGCCGGGGUGGAGGAGGUGGCGGCGACGCUGGAGGAGGCGACGGCGCGACCGGCCGGUGCACGGUCGAGGCGGCACAGGCGGCUGGAGGCGGCCGGCGGCGUGGGAGAGAGAGGAGGGCGGCGGGGAGAGGGCUAGGGACCACGGGGAGGCUCGGGAUGGGGUUAAAACGAUAGAACGGAGUGAGGGGAUCCCAUUUUAUAGGGUGGGGGCGGGAGCCGGGCUCGGGAGAGGGCAGAACGGCCACGGGAAUAACGGCCGACGGCCAUGGAAAGCGGCCGGACUUGGCGCGUCCGUUCCCGGGGAUUGAAGGCACAAAUCAAGGGGGAAUUUGGGGGCAAUUGAAGAGGAUUCAAUGGGGAUUAAAACCCCCCAAUUAAUUUUGGAAUUGGCCAAUUGAAUCAAGCGGAUUUGGAGGAGGGAGCGAGCUAGGGUUCGCACGGGAGAGAGAGAAGCCGGGCGGGAGGAAGACGACUCGCCUGGCGCGUGGGCCCCACGCGGUCGGGCGCGCGGUCAGCGCGCGGCAACGGCGCGCACGCGCGCGCACGUGCGCGGCACGGGCGGGAGGGCGCCGCUCGGGUUGGGCCGGGCGGCCGGCCCAGGAGGAGAGGAUGGGGAGGCGGCCUGUGCCGGGCAGGCCAGGAGGGAAGGGGGGGAGAGGCAGCCCGGGAGAGAGAGGGAGGAGGGAGCUGGGCCGAGGGGAAGGGAGGGAGCUGGGCCGGGAGGGGAGGAGGCCCAAGAGGAGGAGGGAGAGAAGGAGAGGGAGAGAAAGAGAGGGAGGAGAGGGAGACUUUGGGCUGGGCUUGGCCCAAAGGAGGAAGAGGAUUUAUUUUUAGGUUUUUCUUUUUAAUAAACUCUAAUAAUUGUUUUUGUUGCUUAAUAAUUAUUUCCGGUGCUCUGAAAAUUCAAGUAAAAUUUGAGGGCUCCUUUUAGACCAAGGAGAAUUUAACAAAAUUCUCCGGGCCACAUUCGAAUUUUUCUUGUACGUAUUUUAGUGUUUGCCAAUUUCUUUUCGAAUUUUAAUUAAUUCUAUUAUUCCUUUUAGAAAAUGAUUUUUAUUUCGGGAUGAAUUUAUCAGGACGUGACAAAUCCACCCCCCUUACAAGAAUCUCGUCCCCGAGAUUCGAGGCGGCUAGCAUGAAGAUAGGUUGGGCGGUCUUCUCUUCUUGUCUGACUUCUUCCAUCGCGUCUUUUAUAACAAACUUGCUUAGCAAAACUUCUCCACUCUAGGCUGCUUGGCUCGAUCCCUUGUUGCAGAUGGAAUCUUCUCUUCACAUGACUUUUCCCUGGUUGCACCUCUAGCUGACUUCGACUGGGCUGCGGCAUUGGAAGAUGGGGCUUCAGUUCCAGAACUUCUUAUAACUCAUAUCUUUGGAGUCAACCUCAUACAAGUUACCACUUCAUGUCAUGCGUCAACACUAGCUUGUCAUUACUAGGAUACCAUGUUUGUCAUCAUAAGAAUAUCAUGCUUGUCAUUUACUUCUAAUUUGCCACAAACUGCCUCAUAUUAGUUUUCCUGGUCUCCGGGUGCUAGCUACUUCUGCUAUUCGAUGCAAGGGUCGAUAACUUUGCCUUUGAAUUAUGUUUCUCAACAGAACCAACUUAUCCCACUUGACAUGCUUUGACGUCUUCCUAAUUGACUUUACUGCUGAACUUGUUAUUGUCUGAUCGUUUUCCUGCCAAAUCUGAAGCUUUGUUGUUAGAUGCGAUUUUAAUCUGACCUCUAUAGACUAUCUUCGAACAUUUCACUUGGUUCAUAACUAGGAAUAGUUCCCACGAACAGGCAACUCGGAUUCACUUUCUUUACAUUCAGUUUACUUCCCACUAUUCCCUUCAUGUUGUCAUUAUUUAGCAUUCAAAGUAUUCCUUUACACAUUCAACCCUGACAUCCGAAAAAGACACAUCUGAAACUCUUGUCCAAACAAAUGUCUCUUUGGUUAAUCGCUUGAUUUUCAUUUCCAUCAUCAGGUUGAUUAUUAACUCGAGGUUAGAACAUAGUUCCUCUGGAAUGAGACCCUAGGUCUCCUUUAUCAGUAAGCAAUUAUACACAUAAUCACAUAUCCGCAUCUUCCAAAAGAAUCCUCAUAGAACUUGUCUGUAUUACACAUUUCUCCCUCAUUACAUGAAUACUAAGCAUUGCCUAAAAGGAAAGGUGCUUAGCAUUGGUACAUUGCAUCCUCAACAUGAAUCUUCCAUAAACAUAACAAACUCAUUGUUUAUAAUCAUGAAUAUAUUUAUUUAUUACAUGAUUGCUGCAAACUCCCGAUUACAGUGAUAAGUAGCGAACUGAAAAUCACAAACAUGGAUACAUAGCUGGCAUUGUUCUAGUGACUGCAUCCUUGAUUGGUUCUGUGAUGAUGUGAUAGGACUGCAUAUUGCUAUCAUUCACAGGAGAAGUUUCCUUCUGGUUGCUGGUUGAGGCGAAUAACGGUCUUCCGCUUGGUAUCGCCCUCCGGAGGUUGAUUGCCCUUUGCUUGGCCUGGAGUAGGUCGGGGAGAGACACAACUUCUUUCAUCGACGACAAUUCUUUGCUGAGGCUGUCGGUGCAGAGAAUGGUUGGUGCUGAAGGUAUUAUCGCUAUGAUUUAUUGCAGGGUCAGGUGCAGCAGGAGGAGCAUUGGUGCUGUGGAUGAUAUCGUCGAUGUUGCUGUUGGAGCUGACUAGCUGAUGAGACAAUCGUAGGGUUGUUCGUUGGAUUUCUGCGGUCUUGGUCAACAACACACUGAGUUGGCAAUCCUUGGGCACAUGGUUUGUACCUUCGCACAGAAAACAUGUGACCUUGCGGGUGGGACACUCCCCUGGUGGAUGGUCUUCUUCACAAUGAGUGCAGAGUGUGAGACACAUGCUAGCAACGUGUUCAAUUUCCCCGCAACGGGUGCAUGCCUUUGAUUCCAUCUCUUCCUCGCCGAGAUGUCGGGGAGACUCAUCUUCAUCAUCCAAGGAGACUUGAUCUGACCCUUCACUAUCAGAUACUCUGCCACCAUGGCUUAGGAGGUGCUGGGUCAACUGUCGUGCACCUCGGAAAGUAUUUCCUCUUUGACGUCUAGGAAUAGUUAUCCCUGCUGGAGGCCAUUCGGUGCUGGUAAUAGUCAUCUUACGUACUUCUUCUUCAGUUCGCAUCGGUGCUUUUCUCUUCUGAUUCUUACUCUUCUGCCUUUGGCUUGCUUAGUAUGUGACCCCACGUGGUACGAGAGGCUAGGAGGAAAGUAUUUCCCGGGAUUCAAUGGAUUCUCUCCGUUGAGCUCUCUACUUUGCACACUAGGCUGCAAGCUUGACUUGGUGUGAGGAGGCUGGUUUAGCGAUGUCUGCCCUGCUAAACCAAGGGAAGGGGCUUCUUUGACAUAUACCCAUGGACAAUUCAGGGCAUAGUGUCCUUGCUCUCUACAAUCAUGACAAAAGGGGACCUGCUCUUCUGGCAUUGGAAGCUCAUUGACCUGGGUGGCAAAGGCUCGAUCAAACACAUACUGAUUUUGGUCUUGACUUCCAACCAAUGGUAGCUGUGAACUAAGCAGCAUGCUUGGAAUGGACCAAGGGUGUGCCCUGGUUAACUCUCUUGAGGCCAGUGGUGGAUUGAGUUGAAAACUUGAGUUACUGGAGGCAUACCCGCUGACAUUCUUUCCUUUUUCUCUGUUAAACAUCUGUUACAGGGAUUGAGGUGAGAGAGGAAACAAGCCAGGAAAGAAUAGACCAGAACUAGAGACAGGACCUUAAAGGAACUAACUCUUCUUAUUGAUGUAUUGUUUGUUUUGCUUAUUCUGCAAGUUGCUUAAGCAAACAACCUAGCAUGGUUACAUCACACCCCACUGAUGCAAACCACGCGCUACACACACAAGCAAGGAAACACACAACUAACGACUCUACCCUAGAGGGCGGCUUAGGUUCUGCGACUGGUUCUCCAAGAUCUUCACUCCUUCUUCACAGCUGGCUUCACUGCUUCCUACACUUCGCUAGCGGAUCCUGCAGUCUUCCGGAGCUUCGGCAAACAAUUGGCGACAUCUUCUUCUUCGCAAAGCUGACCAUCUAGUACUAGUUGAAAUUUGAAGGAAGAAAAGAGUAAACCUUUUGCAAAUAGCAUUAGGGGAAGGAGAAAAAGAGGAACUUUCGCAAAUAGUUUUAUUUAUAAAAUAUGUCCUUAGGUUUUAUCCACUUGGCUUAUCCUACAGUCGAGAUGGCUCUGAUACCAGCUUGUCACGACCGGGAAAAUUGCCUUUUCCCGAACGCUAGUGCAUUAAUCCCCGUCCCAGGAAAAGCCGGGGUACACCACACAAACAUGAUAUAAAAGACACAUCUUUAUUAUAUCGAUAAUAUUUACAUUAUUACAAAGGCGCUUCAGGCCUGACAAUCAAAAAUAAACAGCAGCGGACUAGCGGGCCUACGGCUCCAUCUCCACAGGCGCUCAACUGGGGUAUAAGCCAGGACUCCACCUAAGACAUCUUCUCCAAAGCUUCUCUUACUGAAGAGGGGAAAGAUUGAGCAAGAAUGAGUACAACCACAGUACUCAGCAAGUCACACCGGCAGAUGCAUGAUUAAUGCAAGGGGGGGUACAAGGGGAUAAUAAUAUCGGGGUUAAGUUUUGCAGAAAACAGCAUUUAAAAGUCACUUAGUUGCCCAAAGCCAUUUUAUAAAGACGAUCCUAGAGUUACACAGUAUUAUUAAACAAGGCCGUGAACCCUCACGAACCUGCCUUAACCCAAGGCCUACGAUGAUUCAGACCGAACUGGCAACCCGACCCUGGGUCCCAGCUCGUCCCAAGCCAACCCAGGCCAACCAUUCCACAUUUUAGUUGUUGAGCAAAUUUUAAGAAUUAAAACACUGACUUGGGUACAUUGCUCGGCUUGCCCAUAACCGAGGGCGCGGCUAUUCGAAUAGAUUAUACUCUGAUCAGAGGUGUACAUCUUUACCCACAAGACACAUCUUCCUCACGUGCAACCACGUGCCACAUACCACCACGGUAUACAGACGGAAGACGUGACAUAGUUUCCAACCCAUCCUAGCCAUAGACAAGAGUGCCGACCCAAUCCCACCUACGGCCGGAACCUCCGGGACAGGCAGGCAGGACUGAGCCCCUAGCAGCAGGGCACCAACCCUGUGCCAUGACAUCUCUACUACCGGGCCGCAGCUCGUGUAGCCUUCAUUUGUCCUAGAGAAUGUCCAUCGACCCCGACUUCAUCCAUCUCCAUCCGUGUACUUUUGUUUAUGACCAGACUGAGCCACAAACUAAGCCUUACCCACUAGACAUGUGGAAGUACGGUAGUGCUUUGCAACAGAGGCCCGAGCUUAAUCCUUAUAGUGGCCGGGGUGCUACUUCCCACAACUGGCAUGCACCCAAACCCCACCGAAAACAGGUUUUAGGGGUUUUGAAAGAGGAAGAGAGGUGUAUGUCCAAUUCCACCAUAAACCAACAAUUCCAUAGUGUCCAAAUGAUAUGAGAAUUCCCAACGUCUAAAGUUGUAAAACCACCUAAUAUUGCCUAAUUAAUCAGCGAAGCAUCUACCUAAAUUCAUACUAGUGGAACCAUGAAUAGAGUACCCACUAGUUGGGGUUUUGUUUAUCCUAGGGUGAACAAGGUAAUAAUAACAAUAGCAAUAAUAAUGCCUUAACAAAGGUAAAUAGGCAUGGCUAAAUAAAACAGUGAUAACGCGGGAAUUUAAAUAAAGCGAUAAUGCAUUAAUUUAAAUAAAAAUAAUUUUAUAAACUGGGAUUCAAUAUGCUCAAGGAUGAUGUGACUUGCCUUGCUCAGAGGGAACGGCCUUCCGAACCUUCGGCGACGACCACGAACCACGCUUCGGGAACCUCCGGGACGACGAAAGCUACGCGAAGCACACAAGCAAAGCUACAAGCCUACAAAGAAGCAAUAACAAUACAUAAAAAGAAAGCACAGGGUUCUUUAGGUUAUAACAAACAUUAGGAGACUUGAACGGGUCGAUUCGGAGUUCGUAUGACCAAGAUAUGAUCAUCCGAAGUUUAAUGCUGUUAUAUGGGGAUUUGCGGAUUAUUAUAAUUAAGCUUUGCAACUAUAAAAUAUGUGUAAGCACUAGCCUGGAAAAGACAGGAAGGCUGCGCCGUUGACAUGCGGACCCCACAUGUCAACCUAAAGGACCGCGGUAGACCGGGUACACAGAGACGGUCCACGGGUCGAUGGAAGCGGACCCUGUGUGUCAACCGAGGCGAGUGGUCGACAAACGGACUCCACUAGACACCGAGCGGGCACACUAACGCGGACACUACACGGUCACCACCCGCACGCGUGAACGACUACCGACACCGGUACACGGGUACCGGGGCCGACAACCGCACAACGAGCACGGGCGACACCGAAAGGACGAGGACGGGGCAGCGAGGGAGAGGGAUCCUUACCACCACGCGACGAGGCGUGGGGACGACAACGACGAACGGGCGCGGCGGAGACAGCUCGGGGACGACGGAGGCGAACGGCGAGGGAACGACUUCGGCGGCGAUCCUUGGACGAAGGCGAGACGCGGCUGGCACAAGGCUUGACGACGCGGAGCUGAGGACGAAGACGAGGACGGGGCUGCCGCGGCUUGCUUGACUGAUGCGGACGACGGAUGAGAACGGCUCGACGGAGGGACGAACGCCACGACGACCGGGAAUGAUGAGAGGACGACGACGACGACGACCGGGGCCGGCGAGGAGGCGACGAGGGCAGCCGGCAGCGGCUGCACGAAUGCGAGGAUGGCGUGGAACACGCCGCAGCGAUGACGAUGACGGAGGCGGCGCCGCGAGACGACGAGCCGGCGAGGAUGAACGGGCGGCCGAAGGGACGUCGGCGACGAUGAGGAUGGAGAGGCCAGCACGGGCGACGGUGUUCCGGCGAAACAGAGGAGCAGCUGGAGGAGAGGACAACGCGGCGACGUCGAUAGGCGUACCGGCGACGUACAGGAGCCGGCCGGAGGCGGGGAGGUACUGGACGCCGACGUGGAGGCCACUCCGGCGAGCUUCAGGCGAGGAGGAGGUGAUGCCGGGGAUGAGGGCGGCGUCGCGGAGCCGAGGGAGGUGGUGGCGACGUCGGCCGGCGCACGGGAAACGCGACAGUGGCGGCCGGAGGUGGAACAGUGGCGACAACGCCACUGUUUUGCCGGCGAGGACGCGUCUCCGGUGCUUUCCCCGCGAAACGGAGGGCUGACCGAGGGAGAGGAGGUGGCUGCGAGGCCGAGGGAGAAGACGGCGCGGCCGGACGGCGCUCCGGCGAGGAGGGAGAGGCGGCUGGAGGCGGCCGGCGCGGAGGAAAGAGAAGGGCGACGGCGGGAACGCGCCUCCGGCGGUCACCGCGCGAAACGGAGGGCAGGCCGGGGUGGAGGAGGUGGCGGCGACGCUGGAGGAGGCGACGGCGCGACCGGCCGGCGCACGGUCGAGGCGGCACAGGCGGCUGGAGGCGGCCGGCGGCGUGGGAGAGAGAGGAGGGCGGCGGGGAGAGGGCUAGGGACCACGGGGAGGCUCGGGAUGGGGUUAAAACGAUAGAACGGAGUGAGGGGAUCCCAUUUUAUAGGGUGGGGGCGGGAGCCGGGCUCGGGAGAGGGCGGAACGGCGACGGGAAUAACGGCCGACGGCCAUGGAAAGCGGCCGGACUUGGCGCGUCCGUUCCCGGGGAUUGAAGGCACGAAUCAAGGGGGAAUUUGGGGGCAAUUGAAGAGGAUUCAAUGGGGAUUAAAACCCCCCAAUUAAUUUUGGAAUUGGCCAAUUGAAUCAAGCGGAUUUGGAGGAGGGAGCGAGCUAGGGUUCGCACGGGAGAGAGAGAAGCCGGGCGGGAGGAAGACGACGCGCCUGGCGCGUGGGCCCCACGCGGUCGGGCGCGCGGUCAGCGCGCGGCAACGGCGCGCACGCGCGCGCACGUGCGCGGCACGGGCGGGAGGGCGCCGCUCGGGUUGGGCCGGGCGGCCGGCCCAGGAGUAGAGGAGGGGGAGGCGGCCUGUGCCGGGCAGGCCGGGAGGGGAGGGGGGGGAGAGGCAGCCCGGAGAGAGAGGGAGGAGGGAGCUGUGCCGAGGGGAAGGGAGGGAGCUGGGCCAGGAGGGGAUGAGGCCCAAGAGGAGGAGGGAGAGAAGGAGAGGGAGAGAAAGAGAGGGAGGAGAGGGAGACUUUGGGCUGGGCUUGGCCCAAAGGAGGAAGAGGAUUUAUUUUUAGGUUUUUCUUUUUAAUAAACUCUAAUAAUUGUUUUUGUUGCUUAAUAAUUAUUUCCGGUGCUCUGAAAAUUCAAGUAAAAUUUGAGGGCUCCUUUUAGACCAAGGAGAAUUUAACAAAAAUUCUCCGGGCCACAUUCGAAUUUUUCUUGUACGUAUUUUAGUGUUUGCCAAUUUCUUUUCGAAUUUUAAUUAAUUCUAUUAUUCCUUUUAGAAAAUGAUUUUUAUUUCGGGAUGAAUUUAUCAGGACGUGACAAAAUCCAAACUACACGAGAUCGGCACAAGUUAUCUCCUCUAUGGGAAGGGUCAUUUAUAAUCUCUGAAGUCACCCGGCCAGGUUCCUACCGACUCAAGCGUGAAGAUGGUACACUUGUUGACAAUUCUUGGAAUAUCGAACAUCUUCGUCGUUUCUACGCUUAAGUUUCUCUAUGUAUUUCCCUAUCUUGACUGUCAACAUCAAGCCUUUUUUUUCUUGAGGUUGUCAGUCGGGGGCUACUAUAAUAAUAAUGGAGUGUGAUUUUUAUCAAUUCAAUUUGCUUACUUGGUCUAUCAUUGCCUUGCUUGAUUUUUCUACUUAGUUUACGAGGACUGAAAGUUUUUAAUAGCUUUUGCGGGUUUUAGGCUCAACAAAGCUUGAUAAAGGCUUUUAAGAAAUCAACAGCUAAGCAAGAAACACCAAGCACAGCAUAAAUACACCGGUAUUAUACAAAUUGUGCCUCCAUCAUUCGUCAUCCAAUACAUUUACAUUUAAUCAGUAUCAGUCUUCUCAUCAUCAGAGUUAUUGUUACCAGUCGGCCGAAGGUCGGUAUCCUGAAACCGAUCUACGACAUCACCUGCAAUCUUGUCGGCUGCUUUUUGAGUGUCGUUGAUAAGAUCAAGGGCAGCCUCUUCGCUUGUCCCAUCCGUAAAACCAUCAAUGGCAUCAAUAUCGAUCUUCGGGUACAGGGAUUUGGUCAUUGCUAGCGCUAAACCUGCUCCCAUGCUUCCGGCUUCUUUAAUAUUCUUGAAAUAGGUGUCCGGAGCGAUUCUCAGCUUGUCAAAUACUUCGGAAGCAUCGAAUCUACUCGGACCAUUGUUAUUAUAGAACAUUGCCUGGACAAGCGGGGUAGCGGCAUUGGCGACCUCAUCCCUGGCUCCUUCAAGUCUUUUGAUCUUGCCAACCAGGACGUCGAAUUGGGCUUGGGACUUGAUCUUGCGGUCUACAAUAACAAAUUCAUGUCAAUGAUCUGCUGCAUCAAAGAGAGAAACUCAGGUUGUUGGCUGACAAUACCUUCAACCUCCUUCAAAGCCGAGUCCCUUUGUGCAGCCAAUUCUGCCUUGUUACUUUCUGUCGCGACCGGGAAAAUUGCCUUUUCCCGAACGCUAGUGUAUUAAUCCCCGUCCCAGGAAAAGCCGGGGUACACCACACAAACAUGAUAUAAAAGACACAUCUUUAUUAUAUCGAUAAUAUUUACAUUAUUACAAAGGCACUUAAGGCCUGACAAUCAAAAAUAAACAGCAGCGGGCUAGCGGGCCUACGGCUCCAUCUUCACAGGCGCUCAACUGGGGUAUAAGCCAGGACUCCACCUAAGACAUCUUCUCCAAAGCUUCUCUUACUGAAGAGGGGAAGGAUUGAGCAAGAAUGAGUACAACCACAGUACUCAGCAAGCCACACCGGAGAUGCACAAUUAAUGCAAAGGAGUACAAGGGGAUAAUAAUAUAGGGUUUAAGGUUUGCAGUAAACAGCAUUUAAAAGUCACUUAGUUGCCCAAAGCCAUUUUAUAAAGACGAUCCUAGAGCUACACAGUAUUAUUAAACAAGGCCGUGAACCCUCACGAACCUGCCUUAACCCAAGGCCUACGAUGAUUUGGACCGAACUGGCAACCCGACCUGGGUCCCAGCUCGUCCCAAGCCAACCCAGGCCAACCAUUCCAUAUUUUAGUUGUUGAGCAAAUUUUAAGAAUUAAAACACUGACUUGGGUACAUUGCUAGGCUUGCCCAUAUCCGAGGGCUCGGCUAUUCGAAUAGAUUUACUCUGAUCAGAGGUGUACAUCUUUACCCACAAGACACAUCUUCCUCACGUGCAAACACGUGCCACAUACCACCACGGUAUACGGACGGAAGACGUGACAUAGUUCCCAACCCAUCCUAGCCAUAAACAAGAGUACCGACCCAAUCCCACCUACGGCCGGGAUACCCGGGACAGGCAGGCAGAACUGAGCCCCUAGCAGCAGGGCACCAACCCUCUGCCGUAUGACAUCUCGACUACCGGGCCGCAGCUCGUGUAGCCUUCAUUUGUCCUGGAGUAUGUCCAUCGACACCCGACUUCAUCCAUCUCCAAUCCGUGUACUUUUGUUUAUGAUUAGACUGAGCCACAAACUAAGCCUUACCCAUUAGACAUGUGGAAGUACGGUAGUGCUUUGCAACAGAGGCCCGAGCUUAAUCCUUAUAGUGGCCGGGGUGCUACUUCCCACAACUGGCAUGCACCCAAACCCCACCAAAAACAGGUUUUAGGGGUUUUGAAAGAGGAAGAGAGGUGUGUGUCCAAUUCCAACAUAAGCCAACCAUUCCAUAGUGUCCAAAUGAUAUGAGAAUUCCCAAAGUCUAAAGUUGUAAAACCACCUAAGGUUGCCUAAUUAAUCAGCGAAGCAUCUACCUAAAUUCAUACUAGUGGAACCAGGAAUAGAGUACCCACUAGUUGGGGUUUUGUUUAUUCUAGGGUGAACAAGGUAAUAAUAACAAUAACAAUAAAAGUAAGGUCAUAACAAAGGUAAAUAGGCAUGGCUAAAUAAAACAGUGAUAACGCGGGAAUUUAAAUAAAGCGAUAAUGCAUUAAUUUAAAUUAAAAUAAUUUUGUAAACUGGGAUUUCAAUAUGCUCAAGGAUGAUGUGACUUGCCUUGCUCGCUUUCCCAAACGCCGGCUUCGACUUCCACGAAAAGCGGAUCUUCCGAAGCUGCAGCGUCUACACGACCAACGGAAAAGAAAAGGGCUUUUACACUACUAAACUCCACAUAACAGCAGAAACAAAGCACAAAAAUGGGUUCUUGACUUCUUAAGGAAAAAUUAGAGACUUGAACGGUCCAAUUCCGAGUUCAAAUGGCCAAGAUAUGGCCAUUUGAAGUUUAUAUGCUCUUUAAAUGGAUAUUUGCGAAUUUCUUCAUUUAAUUUUCAAUUAAAAAAUCCUAUUUAUUGCGUCAGCCGGGGGAGCGGGCGCGCGGACCGGGUCCACGGGAAGUGGGGCCCACGCGUCAGCCCCACGGUCCACGGUGGACCGGGCGCACGCGGCUGGCGGCGGUCGGCGCCGUGGGUCCCGCGCGUCAGCCGCACCCGCGGGCGCGGGCGGCGGACGGCCGGGCCCACUUGGCAGCCGCGAGGGCGCGCCCGAGGGCGGCCUCGCCGGCACGGCCGACGGGAGCGGCGCGCCCGCGCCCCGAUGGUCGCCGCCGGCGACCAACGGCGCGGCGGAGCGGCACCCGAGAGAGAGGAGGGAAGGGGGAAACGAACGGAGCGGUCCACGGCUCACCCCAAGACGGCGAAGGCGGUGGAAACGGCGGACGGAGCGGAGGAAGACGGCGGCGCGGCUCGGGAUGACGAUGACGACGGUGCUCCGGCGGUCGACGGGCGAAGCGGAGCGGCGGACGGGGUCGGCGACCACUCGGCGAAGCGGACGGAGGUGUCGCCGAGUAAGGAGGAAGUCCGGAGCGGCGGCGGCGGCGGAACGGAGCUCGGCGGCGAUGGCGGAGAGAGCGGAGCACGGCGCGGGCACGAAAUCGACGGCGAGAGCGAGCGGCGAGCGGCGGAAACGGAAGAGCGGAGCUCGGGCAACGAUUUUAUAGCGUCGGAAGGGAGAGAAGGCGGCCGAGGAGGAAGGAAACCGGCCGCGGGGAUUUCGGCCGCCAUUGAAGACGCCGGCGAACUUCGCGGGAUGAAUCCGGACGAAUCCGAGGGAGAGAGAGAGGGAAAAGGGGGGGAAUCGGGAGAGGGAAACGCGGGGAGUAAUUCCCCCCUCAUUAAGGCGCGCGGGGAAAGCGGGAUGCGGCGGAUUCAGCGGCGGCGGCGGCGCUAGGGCACGGGCGGGCGGCGGGCGCGGCGGGAGGAAGGCGAUGACAGGUGGGCCCCACCCGUCAGCGAGAGCCGGGGCGGGCCCGCCUGUCAGCGGCGCGCGCACGGGGGAGGAGCCGAUGGGCCGGGGGGAAAGAGAGAGAGAGAGGGAGGGAAUGGGCCGAGCCGGCCCAAGAAGGGAGGAGGAGGGGGAAAAGACUUCUUUUAGGAUUUUCUUUUUAUAAACCUUUUCAACUUUGUUUAUUUCUUUUCAAUUAUUAUUUGUGCUCUGAAAAUUCCACUAAAAUUUGAGGGCUCCUUUUAGACCAAGGAGAAUUUAACAAAAAUUCUCCGGGCCAUAUUUGAAUUUUUCUUGUACGUAUUUUAGUGUUUGCCAAUUUCUUUUCGAAUUUUAAUUAAUUCUAUUAUUCCUUUUAGAAGAUGAUUUUUAUUUUGGGAUGAAUUUAUCAGGACGUGACAAAUCCACCCCCCUUACAAGAAUCUCGUCCCCGAGAUUCGAGGAGGCUAGCAAGAAGAUAGGUUGGGCGGUCUUCUCUUCUUGUCUGACUUCUUCCGUUGCGUCUUGACGAACUUCCAGCAAAACUUUACCACUCGGAACUGCUUGGCUUGACCUCCUGUUGCGGAUGGAAUCUUCUCUUCACCUGACUUGGACCAGGGUGCACCUUUUGGCUGACUCAGACUAAGUUGCGGUAGUUCAGUGAUGCUUCCGUUCCAGAACUUCUCAUGAUUCAUAUCUUCGGAGUCAACCUCGGACAAGUUAUCAACUUCAUGUCAUGCGUCGUAACCUGCUUGUCAUUACUAGGAUACCAUGCUUGUCAUUUGCUUCUAACUCGCCAUCAACUGUCUCAUAUUAGCUUUCCUGGUCUCCGGGUGAUAGCUACUUCUGCUAUUUGAUGCAAGGGUCGAUAACUUUACCUUUGAAUUAUGCUUCCCAAGAGAGCCAACUUAUCCUACUUGUUAUACUUUGACGUCUUCCCAAAUGGCUUUACUGCUGGAUUUGUUAUUGUCUAAUCAUUACCCUGUCAAAUCUGAGGCUUCGUUGUGAGAGGUGAUUUUAAUCUGACCUCUAUAGACUAUCUUCGAACAUAUCACUGGUUCUAUAACUGGGAAUGGCUCUCACGAACAAGCAGCUCGGAUUCACUUUCUUUACAUUCAGUUUACUUCCCAUUAUUAUCUUCAGGUUGUCCUCAGUUAGCAUUCAACGUAUUCCUUUACACUUUUAACCUUGAUGUGUUCUUUCCCAUUGGAUCAUCUCCCAAGACUUGGCAUUACCUGGUAACCGGUGCUUGCACUUUUCACUUCGUGUAGCAUCUGAUACCGAGUUGAAGAUUUCACUCCUUGCCUUCAUAGAAACACUUUUACCUAGGUCAUCUUGCUUACUUAAUGACAAGGUGACUGUUGCGGGGCAAUUACAAUCAGGGGUCUUCCUUGAGCGAUGCAGAGCAUGUUUCUGUUUAUCAAUCACCUUUCGGCCUACUUCUUUCAUGCUAGAGAACAUCUUUGCCAAUCUCUUUUAUCAAUCAUCUUUCGGCUUAUCUCUAACAGGUGGUAUUCUUGAAUGUGGAUUGCGGACGCUUCUGGGGAUGAUGAGGUCCUUUGGCUUGCUGCCUUUCAGUGAAACCUUGAUGUGGCUCGUCAAAAGCUGCACUGACUACCUUCAGGGAAAUACAUUGCCUGCUAUCUGUAUCUAUACCACUAGGGUUUAAUUGCCGAUGGUCAUCUUUAGUGCUUCCUCGAGAUGGGGAGCAUCCAAAUUGUUCUUCUGCCACAUCACCUUUGACCUUUUUCUGAUACCAGAUAAACUAAUUACCAACCAUCGACUAUUAUGUUCUCAAAUAUUGAUGUCUCCUGGAUCUCCUUAUCUGUUGGCAGGUAUAUCCGAUCUUAUCAAUGUAGAGGUAUGGCGGGUACCCUUCGGGGUUUCCUCCAACAAUCCUUAUCUUGAUCUGUAAAAGGCGUAUCCAAACUCCUAUCCUCAACUACUGUCUCGUUGGCUUUUUAACCCAACACAGUUUAAUUGUUUUUCUUUUCCAUCCACAGGUUGGCUAUUAACUCGAGGUUAGAAUAUAGUUCCUCUGACACGAGACCCUAGGUCUCCUUUGUCAGUAAACAAUUAUACACAUGAUCACAUAUCCGCAUCUUUCAAACGAAUCCUCAUGGAACUUGUCUGUAUUACACAUUUCUCCCUCAUUACAUGAAUACGGGGCACUGCCUUAAACAAAAAGGGACGGUGCUUAACAUCGGUACAUUGUAUCUACUAUGGGUUAGAAUUAACAUGAGGCCUCACAGGUACGGCGUUUGCUCCAGUGACCACAAGGCGAGUGACUUGUCUUCUUCUUGCAUAAUGGCCGGAGUGAUGGCGCAGGUUACGCUUCGGCUGUGGACAAUCUCUAGAGAAAUGACCUGGUUCUUUGCAGUUGUAACAAAUCAACGUCUUCUUUACUGAGCUGUCCAUCUGGGGACGAUCAUUUUGACUUGGAGUUGGAAUUGGUGGUUGGGAAUCCUUGCUAACAUUGGCAUCAGUGGUACCAUUAUUGCUAUCACCAUUGGAGUCCUUCCCAGAGUCAAAAUUGCUAGGGUUGUCAUUCUGGGUGCCUUCAUUGAUACUAUCGUCGAUAUCUUGGUGAAUGAUGUUGACAUUGCACGCUUGAUCUAAGUGGUCAUGAAUGGGGCAAGAACCAUGGUUGUUGGUGGUAUCAUCAGCAUUAGUAUUGCUAUUGUUGUUGCCUGCAUUGCGUUCAUCUUCUUGGGGCAGGAACUCUUGAUACACAACAGAAGAUCCGGUGAUCUGAAGUGGCUCAGUGCGCUGUCUUUGGUUACCACCUGGAAAUACUGGGUUGUUAACCAUCCUUCUCUUGCAGUUCGUCAUCCGAUUAUGCUCACUUUCGAGUUGCAUGGCUUUGUCCACAAGUUUCUCAAAAUCUUCAUAAUCCUCUAGAAGUAGUUGCACUGCAAGCUCAUCUUUUAACCCCUGGAGAAACUUCUCUUGUUUGUCUUCAUCCGUUUCCACAUCUUCUGGUGCAUAUUGAGCCAAACGAUAGAACUCGUGCAGGUACUCUGUGACGGUCAAAUCUCCUUGCUUCAGGUAGCGGAACUCUCGUUUUCUUAGUGUGAUCAUUCCUGCGGGAACAUGUGAUCUCUUGAAUACAGAUGAAAACUCGUUCCAGGUGAUGGUAUGUCCUUCUGGCCGUGAUGCUUCGUAGCUAUCCCACCACUCUGAAGCCGGUCCAACCAACUGAUGAGUUGCGAAGCCAACCCGCUCCUGGUCGGUGCACUGAAUCAACCCUAGCUUCUUCUCGACUGUGCGCAACCAAUCACUGGCUUCCAUAGGAUCGACGGCCAUGGCAAAGGUUGGAGGCCCCGUUUUGAGAAAUUCUGAUAACUUGCACUGUUGCUGGACUGUAGGUACUUGAACGUUGGUUGCCCCUGCUGGGUUGUUCCGAUUCUGUAAUAGUUGAAAGGCGGUUGCCAACAUGUUGGUUUGGUUAACCACAAUUUGGAUUAGCUCUGGUGAGGUUUCGUUGAUGCUUUUCUCAUUCCCAUUGGCUUGGGUUCUUGAGUCAUCGGAUCCAUCAUUCCCAUAGCCUUUGUUACCAGUGUUAUCCAUCUGUCACAAGGUAGGGGUUGAGAGAGGAAGCAUACAAGGAAAGAAUAGACCAGAGCUAGGGACAGGACCUUAAAGGAACUAACUCUUUUUAUUGAUGUGUUGUUUGUUUUGCUUAUUCUGCAAGUUGAUUAAGCAAACAACCUAGCAUGGUUACAUCACAACCCACCGAUGCAAACCACGCGCUACACACACAAGCAAGGAAACACACGACAAACGAAACACUAGAGGGUGGCUUAGUGUUCUGCGACGGGUUCUCCAAGAUCUUCACUCCUGCUUCACAGCUGGCUUCACUGCUUCCUUCGCUUCGCUAGCGGAUCCUGCAGUCUUCCGGAGCUUCGGCAAACAACUGACGAUAUCUUCUUCUUCACUGACCUGACCAUCUAGUACUAGUUGAAAUCCGAAGAAGGAAGAACGGAGUAAACCUUUUGCAAAUAGCAUUAGGGGAAGGAGAAAAAGGAACUUUCGCAAAUAAUUUUAUUUAUAAAAUAUGUCCUUAGGUUUUAUCCACUUGGCUUAUCCUACAGUCGAGAUGGCUCUGAUACCAGCUUGUCGCGACCGGGAAAAUUGCCUUUUCCCGAACGCUAGUGUAUUAAUCCCCGUCCCAGGAAAAGCCGGGGUACACCACACAAACAUGAUAUAAAAGACACAUCUUUAUUAUAUCGAUAAUAUUUACAUUAUUACAAAGGCACUUAAGGCCUGACAAUCAAAAAUAAACAGCAGCGGGCUAGCGGGCCUACGGCUCCAUCUUCACAGGCGCUCAACUGGGGUAUAAGCCAGGACUCCACCUAAGACAUCUUCUCCAAAGCUUCUCUUACUGAAGAGGGGAAGGAUUGAGCAAGAAUGAGUACAACCACAGUACUCAGCAAGCCACACCGGAGAUGCACAAUUAAUGCAAAGGAGUACAAGGGGAUAAUAAUAUAGGGUUUAAGGUUUGCAGUAAACAGCAUUUAAAAGUCACUUAGUUGCCCAAAGCCAUUUUAUAAAGACGAUCCUAGAGCUACACAGUAUUAUUAAACAAGGCCGUGAACCCUCACGAACCUGCCUUAACCCAAGGCCUACGAUGAUUUGGACCGAACUGGCAACCCGACCUGGGUCCCAGCUCGUCCCAAGCCAACCCAGGCCAACCAUUCCAUAUUUUAGUUGUUGAGCAAAUUUUAAGAAUUAAAACACUGACUUGGGUACAUUGCUAGGCUUGCCCAUAUCCGAGGGCUCGGCUAUUCGAAUAGAUUUACUCUGAUCAGAGGUGUACAUCUUUACCCACAAGACACAUCUUCCUCACGUGCAAACACGUGCCACAUACCACCACGGUAUACGGACGGAAGACGUGACAUAGUUCCCAACCCAUCCUAGCCAUAAACAAGAGUACCGACCCAAUCCCACCUACGGCCGGGAUACCCGGGACAGGCAGGCAGAACUGAGCCCCUAGCAGCAGGGCACCAACCCUCUGCCGUAUGACAUCUCGACUACCGGGCCGCAGCUCGUGUAGCCUUCAUUUGUCCUGGAGUAUGUCCAUCGACACCCGACUUCAUCCAUCUCCAAUCCGUGUACUUUUGUUUAUGAUUAGACUGAGCCACAAACUAAGCCUUACCCAUUAGACAUGUGGAAGUACGGUAGUGCUUUGCAACAGAGGCCCGAGCUUAAUCCUUAUAGUGGCCGGGGUGCUACUUCCCACAACUGGCAUGCACCCAAACCCCACCAAAAACAGGUUUUAGGGGUUUUGAAAGAGGAAGAGAGGUGUGUGUCCAAUUCCAACAUAAGCCAACCAUUCCAUAGUGUCCAAAUGAUAUGAGAAUUCCCAAAGUCUAAAGUUGUAAAACCACCUAAGGUUGCCUAAUUAAUCAGCGAAGCAUCUACCUAAAUUCAUACUAGUGGAACCAGGAAUAGAGUACCCACUAGUUGGGGUUUUGUUUAUUCUAGGGUGAACAAGGUAAUAAUAACAAUAACAAUAAAAGUAAGGUCAUAACAAAGGUAAAUAGGCAUGGCUAAAUAAAACAGUGAUAACGCGGGAAUUUAAAUAAAGCGAUAAUGCAUUAAUUUAAAUUAAAAUAAUUUUGUAAACUGGGAUUUCAAUAUGCUCAAGGAUGAUGUGACUUGCCUUGCUCGCUUUCCCAAACGCCGGCUUCGACUUCCACGAAAAGCGGAUCUUCCGAAGCUGCAGCGUCUACACGACCAACGGAAAAGAAAAGGGCUUUUACACUACUAAACUCCACAUAACAGCAGAAACAAAGCACAAAAAUGGGUUCUUGACUUCUUAAGGAAAAAUUAGAGACUUGAACGGUCCAAUUCCGAGUUCAAAUGGCCAAGAUAUGGCCAUUUGAAGUUUAUAUGCUCUUUAAAUGGAUAUUUGCGAAUUUCUUCAUUUAAUUUUCAAUUAAAAAAUCCUAUUUAUUGCGUCAGCCGGGGGAGCGGGCGCGCGGACCGGGUCCACGGGAAGUGGGGCCCACGCGUCAGCCCCACGGUCCACGGUGGACCGGGCGCACGCGGCUGGCGGCGGUCGGCGCCGUGGGUCCCGCGCGUCAGCCGCACCCGCGGGCGCGGGCGGCUGACGGCCGGGCCCACUUGGCAGCCGCGAGGGCGCGCCCGAGGGCGGCCUCGCCGGCACGGCCGACGGGAGCGGCGCGCCCGCGCCCCGAUGGUCGCCGCCGGCGACCAACGGCGCGGCGGAGCGGCACCCGAGAGAGAGGAGGGAAGGGGGAAACGAACGGAGCGGUCCACGGCUCACCCCAAGACGGCGAAGGCGGUGGAAACGGCGGACAGAGCGGAGGAAGACGGCGGCGCGGCUCGGGAUGACGAUGACGACGGUGCUCCGGCGGUCGACGGGCGAAGCGGAGCGGCGGACGGGGUCGGCGACCACUCGGCGAAGCGGACGGAGGUGUCGCCGAGUAAGGAGGAAGUCCGGAGCGGCGGCGGCGGCGGAACGGAGCUCGGCGGCGAUGGCGGAGAGAGCGGAGCACGGCGCGGGCACGAAAUCGACGGCGAGAGCGAGCGGCGAGCGGCGGAAACGGAAGAGCGGAGCUCGGGCAACGAUUUUAUAGCGUCGGAAGGGAGAGAAGGCGGCCGAGGAGGAAGGAAACCGGCCGCGGGGAUUUCGGCCGCCAUUGAAGACGCCGGCGAACUUCGCGGGAUGAAUCCGGACGAAUCCGAGGGAGAGAGAGAGGGAAAAGGGGGGGAAUCGGUGAGAGGGAAACGCGGGGAGUAAUUCCCCCCUCAUUAAGGCGCGCGGGGAAAGCGGGAUGCGGCGGAUUCAGCGGCGGCGGCGGCGCUAGGGCACGGGCGGGCGGCGGGCGCGGCGGGAGGAAGGCGAUGACAGGUGGGCCCCACCCGUCAGCGAGAGCGGCGGGCGGGCCCGCCUGUCAGCGGCGCGCGCACGGGGGAGGAGCCGAUGGGCCGGGGGGAAAGAGAGAGAGAGAGGGAGGGAAUGGGCCGAGCCGGCCCAAGAAGGGAGGAGGAGGGGGAAAAGACUUCUUUUAGGAUUUUCUUUUUAUAAACCUUUUCAACUUUGUUUAUUUCUUUUCAAUUAUUAUUUGUGCUCUGAAAAUUCCACUAAAAUUUGAGGGCUCCUUUUAGACCAAGGAGAAUUUAACAAAAAUUCUCCGGGCCAUAUUUGAAUUUUUCUUGUACGUAUUUUAGUGUUUGCCAAUUUCUUUUCGAAUUUUAAUUAAUUCUAUUAUUCCUUUUAGAAGAUGAUUUUUAUUUUGGGAUGAAUUUAUCAGGACGUGACACUUUCUAAGGCCUGAAUUCGUUUCUCCAGUUGAGCUAUCUUGGCAGCUUGCACUGUUUUGAUUCCAGAUAGUUGAGGAUACGAUUAUAACAACACAAAUUAAUGGGGCAGAUCUUGAGGUUACCUUUUGAUGAGCCACUCAGUUCAAAGUUUGAAUCCUGGAGUUGGGUAAUCCGGUCCCUUAGUUCAUGCUCUGUCUUUUUAGCAAGUUCUUUGGCUUCGUGUAUGUCACACCCUAAAAAUCUUAAAUAUAUAAAUUGUGGUUUAAUUGGAAUUUUUAGAAAUUAUUUUAAAAGCCUACAAGCUAAACCCUAAUUUUCUAGGAAAAUUUUCAACAUAAAAAUGAGCUAGAUAAAAUUUUAUUAAAUACUAUGCUUGCUCCUCUAUGUUCUAGAAUUUUCUGGGAAUUAUUUGAGUAAGGGAAGUAUUUUUAAUAAUUGAAACAACAUUUCACAAAUUGUUUUAUUCGAAAAAGUUCAAAAAUCCCCCUCUUAGGCCGUUGGGCCGUUUUCGGCCCAACUCUCCCUUUUCUCUCUCUCCCCGCGCGCGGCCCACGCCGGCCCAAGCCGCCGCCGCCCGCCCCUCUCUCACGGAGGCCGACAGGUGGGGCCCACCUGUCAAGUCCGUCCCCGACCUCCGGCCGCCGCCGCGCGAGCCCGAACCCUAGCCGCCGCUUCCCGCUCCGAUUCCGCCCAAAUCCGAGCCCAAUUCCUUUGGGAUUUUGAGGGGUUUUGUUCCUCUCGUUCUCCUCUUUCUUUUCCCCCAAUAAUCAAAGAGAAUCGUUGAGGAUUGGGUCCGAAUCGAGUUCGUUUUGCUUUUAUCCCUAAAACCGAGUUCGAUUUCUUCCCGAUUCGAUUCCUCCCGUUUGGAGCUCGAUCUCUUCAAUCCGAGCUCAUAUAAAGCUUCCCCUUGAUCUCCUCUUCCGUUUGCCCCCUCUCCCGAGUCCUCCCGUGCCUCCUAGCGCCGCCGCGACGCUCUCCAAGUCCGCCGCCGUCGCCGGCCGUCUUCAGCAACGCCGCCGCGCCGUCUCCGCCGUCGCCGUCGCUUGCCGUCAUCGCCAAGAGGUGCGCCGUGGUGCAAGGAAGCUCGGCCGCCCCUUCUUUCCCGCCGCCGACCACCGGAGCUCGCUCGUCGCCGUCGACCCGAGCCGCCGCCGUCUUCCUUCUCGUCGCCGGCCGCCGUCGUGCAUCGUUUCUCGUCGUGGUGAGUACCAACGGGUUCGUCUCGUUGUCCUCUACGUGUAGAUGGUCUCCGUUUCCGCCGCCAACCUCCCUAACGCCGGCGAGCUCGUCGACCCGAGCCGGCCGUCGUGCUGACGUCAUGCCGACGUCAUCGCAAGGGCUGACGUCAUCAUCCUUAGGGCUGACGUCAUCUCUCUCUCUUUUUCCUUUUUCUCGAUUUUCUAAUAGAUUAAAACUUCGGAAAAUCAUAACUAAAUAACCGUAGAUCCGUUUUAGGUGGUUCAAGUUUCUAAACUUUUCUAAAAUCAAGAUCUACAUGUUAAAAAUAUCCACAUGUACUGUUUAUGCUUGUUUUUGUACUGUUUUGUUGAUUUUGUUUAUUUGCUUUAGUUUCCGACGUUCCGGAGGAGAGCGUUUCCGUUGAGGAAGGUUCCGAAGCGUUUGUGGAAGCCCAAGACAAGUCACACAGAUCCUAACCACAACCCUUUGAGCAUGUUGAUCCUAUAUUUAAAUUCUCUAUUUAUUUCAACUGUGCAUUUAUUUUCGAAUGUCACCGGGUGGUGUGAACCUACUCCUUUGUUAUAGCCAAUUUGCAUUGAAUGCCCUAUUCCUUGAUACCUUGGGUAAUAAAUUGAUUAGCUUGAACCUUAUAUAUUGGAUUGGUUCAGCUAAAUGCUAUAUGUAAGUUUGCUUAGCUAUGCUUAGAAACAUUAGCUAACUAAAGGGGAUUAAUUAUAAACUAUGUUACAUUAUUAUUAUUAAUUAUGGUUACAUUUAAUGGUAGCUCACGAUGGUAAAUCGUGUGAUGUUAAUUAAUUGAUAAUUAAAACCUGGUUAAGGUGGGUUGUGAGCAUAUGGUUUUGAUGGUUGUGCUCAUGACAAUUAAGGACCGGUUCGCGAGCUACUGUUGUGAAACAUUUAUCGUGCCAACCACAAGCCAGCGUGGGCAACGGCUUUAUCUUUUGUAUAGCGUGAUUCAUUAUAGUGCGCCAGACUGAGAAGUGGCGAGAAGUCCAUGGGGGUCGCUGGGGAGUCCAUGCCUUGUUUAUAAGGGGGUGAUUAUGAUCCAGGUACGGUGCACUGUGGUGAAUUGUGUUAUGCGAGGGGUAUUGUCACGACUCCUUUCCGAGGUAUCGUGGUGGUACUGAGGCACAUGGUGACAUGAUGUGGGGUUGUGUCUUGUGGGUACAGUGGUACACCUCUGAUCAGAGUUUAAAACUAUUCGAAUAGCCGUACCCGCGGUUAUGGGUGAGUUGAGCAAUGUUUUUCGUGAUUAGUCUCACACUACUCAUUAUUGGUGAAAAGGUGUAAUUGAUUUAAUUCCUGGUCUGGAAUGGCUAAUUCCUGGUUUGGAGGUUUAAUUUGUUCAAUUGGGGUUGGUUGUUCAAAUGUGGUUGGGCCUAUGCAACACGGGUGUGUUGUAUGGUGUUUAUUUAAUAUUGAUUAAUUAUUCAACUGUUUUACUAUUCUCUUAAAUAUUUAUUAAAUGCUGUUUUCUGCAAAUGAGCUAUAUUAUGCCAUCCUUUGUUAUCCUGUGCACUUGCAUAUUUGCUGUGUGGCUUGUUGAGUAUGUUAUAUGCUCAUUCUUGCAAUAUUCAUUCAUCAGAAGAGGAGUACUUCAGUGAAGGUGAUGAUCUGGAGGACUAGGCCUGUUCUUGGUUAAGUUGCCUGCGGAGUAGAGUCGCCAUCGCUGUUCCGUAGUUUGCCAUAGUUUUAUUUUCCGCUGCGUAGAAUGUUAUUUUUGUUUGAGAGGAACUAUCCACCUCUGUAAUAAUUUAUUAUUUUCGAAUAUUCCAUAGUUAAAUAUUUGUACUCUAUUAUCAAUAUUGUCAUUGUGUGCCUCGGUUGAUUCCUGGACGAGGGCUUAACACACAUGUAAGCGUUUGGAAUUUUGGAUAGAAAUUCUGGGCGUGACAAGUUGGUAUCAGAGCCACCUUGACUUUAGGAUAAGCUAAAUGGUAAACCUUAAGUAGCCUUCAAAAUAUUUUUGAAAAAAAUAGAACUGCUCUUCUCUAUUCUCUUACAAAUUAAUUAAGUUGGCAGCACAUGCAAGGUUAUGCACAAAAUUUAUUGAAACUCAAUUUCUUUUCUUUUAAAAGCAAAAGGUUGCUCUUCUCAAAAUGUUUCUUUCUUUCUCUUUACCAAAUUUCAUUGAUUAGUCGGCACUGUACAUUUAUUAUGGUAUCGAUUUAAUCAUGUUAGCACUAGUACUACUCAUCUUCCUUAUGGUGACACUGUACCGUGCUUAUAAUAGAUCAUAAGUAUUUUAGUUUUAUUUUAGUUAUUUGUCAAAAAAAAAUAUACUUGUCUCUGUCCAAAAAGUUAAAUUCUAAAAAAAAUAUAUUUAUAAAAUGGUUUUUGUAUGUGUCUUCUCUUUUAAUUCCUUCCUCUUUGGUCAAAAUCAGUUAAGUCUAGUUGGUGCAGCUAACUUAGAAAAAUAUGCAAUAAUUCUUCUCUUCUAUGUUUCUUUAGAUGCCUCGCCAUUCACCAAGAAAUUUGAUCGAGGUGUUAGGAUUCGUCAGGGAGCUGAGGUUGAUGGCUUUUGAAGUAGGUUAUGAAGUUGCUCCCGAGUAUCGCCAGAUUUCCCAUGACCCCGACGAGGAGAAAUGUCGUGUUCGUGUGACGUUGGCUAGUGAUAGUGAAGACCUUCCGUCUUUUAAGUUCGAAGCUGGAGGAAGAUCGUACUGCCAUGCUUGUCAAGAAGCAGCUUUGGUGGCCAUUGGAGAGUUGCGUCAACACUUUGAAGAAGAAUUGGAUUCAUCAGCUUUCCAGUAUCAUCCCCACAAGCCUCAUGGUCAAGACUAUGGAACCUAUACCUGUCCUGAUGGUGAAGAGAGUGCCACUCUGAUGCAUGCGGUGCAUAUGCUUAGUGCUAUGGAUGCAGUAAGUGUGGAGCGAGACAAAGCAGCUCAUGACAGGGAAAACUGGAAUCGAGGCAAGAUUUGCAAGUUGAAGAGCAAGGUGUACCGCCUACAGAAGGAAUUAGCUGAACUUAAAGGAGAAACGCCGCCGCCAACAUCCUAGCUUCGCCUCACUGCAAGAAAGAGAACCUGUCCGCCCCCUCGUCUCCAGUUAGCUUCGAAGAUUCGCGUGAUGGGUGAAGCUGUGCCCGAUCGUGUUGAGCCUGUCAUCGACAUCAUUAGUGAUGAGGAAGAAGAGGAAGAUCCUGAAGAAAGAGAGCCAGCUACUCCAGAGGAAGAAGAUUCAUCGCUUCGUUCCGACGCAAGGCGGAAUUAGUCGCUUAGUUAGAUCGUUGCCGUAGUUCGCUGUGUUAGAUUGCUUGCUUAAGUUUGUUUGUGAGUGUGUGGGUUUUAGUUGUUGCUUACAUCAUGGGUGGGAUGUAACAGCAUGAGUCUAGUUCUUUUGCUUGUCAGAGUGUAAGAAAGUUGGUGAGGUAGUGUUAAUGCAACUUAAAUGUAAUCAUACACAGUUAAGAGCAAUAUAGAAUUUAAAUUAAUUGAAUAACUCCGUUCUAAGGGUGUCUCUCUGUCGUUCUUUCCUUGUUGUCUCUGCUUGUCGUCAGAUGGUGAACACGCGCACUGGCACUGGAAGUGGAAGUGGAAGUGGAGCCAAUAACAAUGAAGAGAACCCAACGCUAGCUCAGAUUUUGGCUCAACAAACACAACUGAUCAAUCUGUUAGUGCAGCAGGCACAGAAUCAGCAGGCAAAUAAUCAAAACCAGAAUCCACCCCCACCUCCCCAAAACAAGUUGGCAGAUUUCUUGCGUGUGAGUCCCCCUACUUUUUCGAGCACCACCAAUCCAGUAGAAGCAGGAGAUUGGUUGCAUGCGGUGGAGAAGAAGUUGGACUUGAUCCAGUGUACUGAGCAGGAGAAAGUUUCUUUUGCUUCGCAUCAGUUGCAUGGACCCGCUGCUGAAUGGUGGGAUCAUUUUCGCCAAGGCAGAGCGGGAGGAGAACCUAUUACUUGGCAGGAAUUCACAACUGCUUUUAAGAAGACGCAUAUACCAACGGGUGUUGUAGCUCUAAAGAAGAGAGAAUUUAGAGCACUCAACCAGGGAUCUCGUUCGGUCACCGAGUACCUCCAUGAUUUCAACCGUUUAGCUCGCUAUGCUCCAGAGGAUGUUCGCACUGAUGAAGAACGUCAGGAGAAGUUUUUGGAGGGACUAAAUGAUGAGUUGUCUUAUGCUUUGAUGUCUACGGAUUUCCGGGAUUUCCAACAAUUGGUGGACAAGGCGAUUCGUCAGGAAGACAAGUAUAACCGUAUGGAGCAGAAGAAGCGCAGGGCUGCUCAAUUUAAGUCACAACAAGGCAGUAACCAGAGGCCGCGACUCGUUACUGGACCUCAAGUUCCAUCGUACCCUCAAGGAGGAUCUUCAUCAGUUGUCCGUCCCCAACGCCAGUUCUACAACAACAAUACUGGUAAUCGUGGCAAUGACAACCGCAGUGUGGUUGCUCGUCCUGCAGCAACUCCAGUUCAGAACCAGCCCGUUAGGAAGGAGCAGGGGAGCAAACCAGUGAUAUGCUUCAAUUGUGGUGAUCCGGGACAUUAUGCUGAUAAGUGUCCGAAGCCUCGGCGUGUGAAGAACGCUCCAGCCCCGAACAACUCCAGUGCUCCAGCACCGAAGGCCCGUGUCAAUCAUGUUGCAGCAGCAGAAGCUCAGAAUGCACCAGAUGUGGUUUUGGGUACGUUUCCUGUUAACUCUAUACCCGCAACUGUGCUUUUUGAUUCCGGUGCUACACAUUCCUUUUUGUCUAAAAGUUUUGCAAGCAAUCAUGGGAUAGAAGUUAUUAGUCUUGGGAGACCUUUACUAGUUAAUACCCCAGGCAAUCAAGUAUUUUCGACACAGUAUUGUCCUUCUGUUACUAUAGAAAUAGAAGAAGUUCUUUUCCCAUCCUCUCUUAUCUUGCUAGAAUCCAAAGACCUAGAUGUUAUCUUAGGGAUGGAUUGGUUAUCUCGUCAUAGAGGAGUUAUAGAUUGUGCCAACCGUAAGGUGACUUUAACCAAUAGCAAUGGGGAAACUGUUUCUUUCUUUGCGUCCUCUCCUAAAUCUCAUGGUGUGGUUUUAAACCAAGUUGCUCUACAAGAGAUUCCUAUAGUACAAGACUACCCAGAUGUGUUUCCCGAGGAUUUGCCGGGUAUGCCACCUAAGAGAGACAUAGAGUUUCGGAUAGACUUGGUACCUGGAACUAACCCUAUCCAUAAGAGACCAUAUAGAAUGGCAGCUAACGAGUUAGCAGAGGUGAAGAAACAGGUGGAUGAUUUGCUUCAGAAAGGAUACAUUAGACCCAGUACUUCGCCAUGGGGAGCACCAGUCAUCUUUGUGGAGAAGAAAGAUCAUACUCAAAGAAUGUGCGUGGAUUAUCGAGCGUUGAAUGAGGUUACUAUCAAGAAUAAAUACCCUUUACCUAGAAUUGAUGACCUGUUUGAUCAAUUGGAAGGUGCUACAGUUUUUUCCAAGAUAGAUCUCCGUUCUGGAUAUCAUCAACUUCGAAUCCGUGAGGAAGAUAUACCAAAGACCGCCUUCACAACUCGGUAUGGUUUGUUCGAAUGUACCGUUAUGUCGUUUGGACUCACUAAUGCCCCAGCCUUUUUCAUGAAUCUGAUGAACAAGGUGUUUAUGGAAUAUCUGGAUAAGUUUGUCGUGGUGUUUAUCGAUGACAUUCUCAUUUACUCCAAGACGAAAGAAGAACAUGAAGAGCAUCUUCGUCUAGCUUUAGAGAAACUACGUGAGCAUCAGCUUUAUGCCAAGUUCAGUAAAUGUGAAUUUUGGUUGUCCGAAGUGAAGUUUCUUGGUCAUGUCAUCUCGUCUGGAGGAGUGGCAGUAGAUCCAAGCAAUGUGGAGUCAGUAUUAAGUUGGAAGCAACCCAAGACGGUUUCAGAAAUUCGUAGUUUCCUUGGACUUGCUGGGUAUUUGUCACGACCGGAAAUAACCCAACGGGCGUUCCUGACGUGCGUGCAUUAAUCCUUGUCCCAGGAGGCAAGGUACACCAACAGUUGAUACAAUUCAGAGUUUAACAAGCGGAAGCGUAAAUAGUUAACUUAUUACAUGGGCAGCGAAGGCCCAGCACACACAAAGACAAACGGGAAACAGUGGAAGACUAGGGCGACGACCACAGGCGCUUGACGGCAGGCACGAGCUAGACACCAAAGCCUUCAUCUUCAAGGAGCUCCUCUUCUGGGCUUGGGAAAAAUUGAGCAAGACUGAGUACAACCACCGUACUCAACAAGACACACCCACAAAUGCAGAAUAAAUGCAAGGGAGUACAAGGGAAUUAUACCAUAAAGGGGUUAGGGUUGCAGUAAACAGCAUUUAAAGACAUUUAGUUGCUCAAAGCUAUUUUGUAAACCCGAUCCUAGAACUAUACAAUGUUAUUAAUCAAGGCCGUGAACCCACACGAACCUGCCUUAACCCAAGGCCUACGAUGAUUCAGACCGAACUGGCAACCCGACCCUGGGUCCCAGCUCGUCCCAAGCCAACCCAGGCCAACCAUUCCACAUUUUAGUUGUUGAGCAAAUUUUAAGAAUUAAAACACUAACUUGGGUACAUUGCUCGGCUUGCCCAUAACCGAGGGCGCGGCUAUUCGAAUAGAUUAUACUCUGAUCAGAGGUGUACAUCUUUACCCACAAGACACAUCUUUCUCACGUGCAACCACGUGCCACAUACCACCACGGUAUACAGACGAAAGACGUGACAUAGUUUCCAACCCAUCCUAGCCAUAGACAAGAGUACCGACCCAAUCCCACCUACGGCCGGAACCUCCGGGAUAGGCAGGCAGGACUGAGCCCCUAGCAGCAGGGCACCAACUCUGUGCUAUGACAUCUCGACUACCGGGCCGCAGCUCGUGUAGCCUUCAUUUACCCUGGAGAAUGUCCAUCGACCCCCGACUUCAUCCAUCUCCAAUCCGUGCACUUUUGUUUAUGACUAGACUGAGCAACAAACUAAGCCUUACCCACUAGACAUGUGGAAGUAUGGUAGUGCUUUGCAACAGAGGCCCGAAGACCGGUCCUUAUAUGGCCGAGGUGCUACUAUCAAAACCAUGCACCCCGAGCCCAGCCUAAAACCUCUUUUGGGGAUUUUGAAUAGAGGGGGCGGUGUGAAUCCAAUUCCACAAUAAUCCAACAGUUCCAAAGUGUCCAGGUGAUAUGAAUAUUUCCCAAAGUCUAUAGUUGAAAAACCACCUAAUGUUACCUAAUUAAAUUGCGAAGCAUCUACCUAAAAUUAAACUAGUGGUGCCAUGAGUAGAGUGUCCACUAGUUGAGGUUUUGUUUAAUCUAGGGUGAACAAGGUAAUAAUAAUAACAAUAACAAUAAUAAUAUGGUCAUAACAAAGGUAAAUAGGCAUGGCUAAAUAAAACAGUGAUAACGCGGGAAUUUAAAUAAAGCGAUAAUGCAAUAAUUUAAAUCAACAUAAUUUUAUAAACUGGGAUUCAAUAUGCUCAAAGAUGAUGUGACUUGCCUUGCUCGCUUUCCCAAACGUCGGCUUCAACUUCCACGAAGAGCGGAUCUUCCGAAGCUGCAGCGUCUACACGACCAACGGAAAAGAAAAAGGCUUUUACUCUAAUAAACUCCACAUAACAGCAGAAACAAAGCACAAAAAUGGGUUCUUGACUUCUUAAGGAAAAAUUAGAGACUUGAACGGUCCAAUUCCGAGUUCAAAUGGCCAAGAUAUGGCCAUUUGAAGUUUAUAUGCUCUUUAAAUGGAUAUUUGCGAAUUUCUUCAUUUAAAUUUUAAUUAAAAACUCAUCUAUUGCGUCAGCCGGGAGAGAGGGCGCGCGGACCGGGUCCACGGGAGUGGGGCCCACGCGUCAGCCUCUCGGUCCACGGUGGACCGGGCGCACGCGGCUGACGCCGGCCGGCGCCGUGGGUCCCACGCGUCAGCCGCACCCGCGGGCGCGGGCGGCUGACGGCCGGGCCCACCUGGCAGCCGCGGGGCGCGCCCGAAGGCGGCCUCGCCGGCACGGCCGACGGGAGGCGGCGCACCCGCGCCCCGAUGGUCGCCGGCGGCGACCUCCGGCGCGACGGAGCGGCGCCCGAGAGAGAGGAGGGAAGGGGGAAGCGAAAGGAGCGGUCCACGGCUCACCCCGGGUCGACGAGGACGGCGGAAACGACGACCGGAGCGGAGGAAGACGGUGGCGCGGCUCGGGUUGACGAGGACGGCGGCGUUCCGGCGGUCGGCGAGCGAAGCGGAGGGGUGGCCGAGGUCGACGAGAACGCGGCGAAGCCGAAGGAGGUGACGCCGAGUCGGGAGGAGGUCCGGAGCGACGACGGCGGCGAACCGGAGCUCGGCGGCGACGGCGGAGAGAGAGGACAACGGCGCGAGCUCGAAUCCGACGGGGAGAGUGAGCGGCGAGUGGCGGAAACGGAGGAGCGAAGCACGGGGAACGAUUAUAUAGCGUCGGAGGGAGAGAGGGUGGCCGGAGAGGAAGGAAUCGGCCGCGGAAAUCUUGGCCGCCAUUGAUUGCGCCGGCGAGGAUUGCGGGAGUAAAUCCGAGCGAAUCCGAGGGAGAGAGAGAGGGGAAAGCGGGGGGAAAGGGAGAGGGAUUCGCGGGGAAUAUUUCCCUCCACUUUAAUGCGCGCGGGGAUGGCGGGAUGCGGCGGAUUCGGCGGCGCGGCGGCGCUAGGGCACGGGCGGGCGGCGGGAGCGGCGCGAGGUAGGCGAUGACAGGUGGGCCCCACCCGUCAGCGAGGGUGGCGGGCGGGCCCACCUGUCAGCGGCGCGCGCGCGGGGGAAGGCCGAUGGGCCGCGGGGGAGAGGAGAGAGAGGGAGGGAGAGUUGGGCCGAGCCGGCCCAAGAGAGGAAGGGGGGGAAAGAGGACUUCUUUUAGGGAUUUUCUUUUUAUAAAACCUUUUUAACUUUGUUUAUUUCUUCUCAAUUAUUAUUUGUGCUCUGAAAAUUCCACUAAAAUUUAUUUACGCAUUUUAGGCUUUUAGGAAAUAUACAAAAAUCCUCCAAGCCUUAUUUGACUUUUACAUUUGCACAUUUUAAUUGUUGGAGGCUUUCACAUGGAUUUUACUUAUUCUUUGCAUAAUUUCGAGGAUGUAUUUUAGAGUCGUUUUGGGACGUGACAGUAUUACCGCAGGUUUAUUGAGAACUUUUCAAAGAUCGCCAGACCAAUGACUCGUCUACUUCAGAAGGAAGUGAAGUACAAGUGGACGGAGGAUUGUGAACGAAGUUUCCAAGUACUGAAGAAAAGGCUAGUGACUGCGCCUGUGUUAAUUUUGCCUGAUUCGAGGAAAGGUUUCCAAGUGUAUUGUGAUGCAUCCCGACUCGGUUUGGGUUGUGUGUUGAUGCAAGAAGGAAAGGUGGUUGCUUAUGCAUCUAGGCAAUUGCGUCCUCAUGAGAAUAACUACCCAACGCAUGACCUAGAGUUGGCAGCUGUGGUGCAUGCAUUGAAGAUUUGGCGUCAUUAUCUUUUCGGUAACCGUACAGAAAUAUAUACGGAUCAUAAAAGUUUGAAGUACAUUUUCACUCAACCUGAUUUGAAUAUGCGUCAGCGAAGAUGGUUAGAGUUGAUUAAAGACUAUGAUAUGGAAAUCCAUUAUCACCCGGGGAAGGCAAAUGUUGUAGCCGAUGCUCUUAGCAGGAAAAGCUACUGUAAUAUGUCAGAAGGUCAACGUUUACCUUGGGAGUUGUGCCAAGAAUUUGAAAAGUUGAACUUGGGAAUAGUCAGUAAAGGUUUUGUGGCCGCAUUAGAAGCUAAACCUACUCUGUUUGAUCAAGUUAGAGAAGCUCAAGUGAAUGAUCCUGAUAUCCAGGAAAUAAAGAAGAACAUGAGAAGGGGUAAAGCCAUCGGUUUUGUAGAAGAUGAGCAAGGAACUGUGUGGUUAGGAGAAAGAAUUUGUGUCCCAGAGAAUAAGGAGUUGAAGGAUACUAUCAUGAAAGAAGCACAUGAAACUUUGUAUUCCAUUCACCCUGGAAGCACUAAGAUGUAUCAAGACUUAAAGCUACAAUUCUGGUGGGCCAGUAUGCGACGUGAGAUAGCAGAAUAUGUGGCUCUAUGUGAUGUAUGUCAGCGGGUCAAAGCAGAACAUCAGAAGCCAGCCGGUCUGUUACAACCAUUGAAGAUUCCAGAGUGGAAGUGGGAAGAAAUAGGAAUGGAUUUUAUAACCGGUCUACCCAGAACGUCGGCAGGACAUGAUUCUAUUUGGGUAGUGGUUGAUAGGUUGACCAAAGUCGCUCAUUUCAUACCGGGUCAAAACAACUUACACGGGGAAAAAGCUUGCAGAGUUAUACACUGUGCCAGAGUGGAAUGUUUGCAUGGUGUUCCUAAGAAGAUAGUGUCAGAUAGAGGAAGCCAGUUUACUUCGAAGUUUUGGCAGAAGUUACAAUCAGAAUUGGGUACCCGUUUGAAUUUCAGUACUGCUUAUCACCCUCAAACAGAUGGUCAGACGGAAAGAGUAAACCAAAUUUUAGAAGAUAUGUUGAGAGCUUGUGUUCUAGAUUUUGGUGGAAGUUGGGAUAAGAAUUUGCCGUAUGCGGAAUUCUCAUAUAACCAUAGUUAUCAAGCUAGUUUGCAAAUGUCUCCGAAUGAAGCAUUAUAUGGUCGAAAGUGCCGUACGCCGCUCCUUUGGGAUCAAACCGGUGAACGUCAAGUUUUUGGGACUGACAUAUUGCGAGAGGCGGAAGAAAAAGUGAAGAUUAUCCAAGAAAGGUUGCGCGUUGCCCAGUCGCGUCAGAAGAGCUAUGCCGACAAUCGUCGCAGAGAUUUGGUUUUCGAAGAAGGAGAUUAUGUAUACCUUCGGGUCACGCCGUUACGAGGUGUUCAUCGUUUCCAAACCAAAGGGAAAUUAGCACCGCGUUUUGUAGGACCUUUUAAGAUCGUGAGUCGAAGAGGUGAAGUAGCUUAUCAGUUAGAGUUGCCUCCGUCAAUGGCGGGAAUACAUGACGUGUUCCAUGUGUCUCAGUUGAAGAAAUGUUUACGAGUACCUACGGAGGAAGCAGAUCCUGAUCGUAUAGAGCUUCAAGAAGAUUUAACUUAUGUUGAGAAGCCAGUUAGAAUUUUGGAAGUAAGUGAGAGGAAAACCAGGAAUCGUGUUAUACGGUUCUGCAAGGUUCAAUGGAGUAAUCAUUCGGAAGAAGAAGCCACUUGGGAGCGAGAAGAUGAAUUGAAGUCAGCUCAUCCUCAUCUGUUCGCUAGUUCUUCUGAAUCUCGAGGACGAGAUUCUGUUUAAGGGGGGUAGGUUUGUCACACCCUAAAAAUCUUAAAUAUAUAAAUUGUGGUUUAAUUGGAAUUUUUAGAAAUUAUUUUAAAAGCCUACAAGCUAAACCCUAAUUUUCUAGGAAAAUUUUCAACAUAAAAAUGAGCUAGAUAAAAUUUUAUUAAAUACUAUGCUUGCUCCUCUAUUUUCUAGAAUUUUCUGGGAAUUAUUUGAGUAAGGGAAGUAUUUUUAAUAAUUGAAACAACAUUUCACAAAUUGUUUUAUUCGAAAAAGUUCAAAAAUCCCCCUCUUAGGCCGUUGGGCCGUUUUCGGCCCAACUCUCCCUUUUCUCUCUCUCCCCACGCGCGGCCCACGCCGGCCCAAGCCGCCGCCGCCCGCCCCUCUCUCACGGAGGCCGACAGGUGGGGCCCACCUGUCAGGUCCGUCCCCGACCUCCGGCCGCCGCCGCGCGAACCCGAACCCUAGCCGCCGCUUCCCGCUCCGAUUGCGCCCAAAUCCGAGCCCAAUUCCUUUGGGAUUUUGAGGGGUUUUGUUCCUCUCGUUCUCCUCUUUCUUUUCCCCCAAGAAUCAAAGAGAAUCGUUGAGGAUUGGGUCCGAAUCGAGUUCGUUUUGGUUUUAUCCCUAAAACCGAGUUCGAUUUCUUCCCGAUUCGAUUCCUCCCGUUUGGAGCUCGAUCUCUUCAAUCCGAGCUCAUAUAAAGCUUCCCCUUGAUCUCCUCUUCCGUUUGCCCCCUCUCCCGAGUCCUCCCGUGCCUCCUAGCGCCGCCGCGACGCUCUCCAAGUCCGCCGCCGUCGCCGGCCGUCUUCGGCAACGCCGCCGCGCCGUCUCCGCCGUCGCCGUCGCUUGCCGUCAUCGCCAAGAGGUGCGCCGUGGUGCAAGGAAGCUCGGCCGCCCCUUCUUUCCUGCCGCCGACCACCGGAGCUCGCUCGUCGCCGUCGACCCGAGCCGCCGCCGUCUUCCUUCUCGUCGCCGGCCGCCGUCGUGCAUCGUUUCUCGUCGUGGUGAGUACCAACGGGUUCGUCUCGUUGUCCUCUACGUGUAGAUGGUCUCCGUUUCCGCCGCCAACCUCCCUAACGCCGGCGAGCUCGUCGACCCGAGCCGGCCGUCGUGCUGACGUCAUGCCGACGUCAUCGCAAGGGCUGACGUCAUCAUCCUUAGGGCUGACGUCAUCUCUCUCUCUUUUUCCUUUUUCUCGAUUUUCUAAUAGAUUAAAACUUCGGAAAAUCAUAACUAAAUAACCGUAGAUCCGUUUUAGGUGGUUCAAGUUUCUAAACUUUUCUAAAAUCAAGAUCUACAUGUUAAAAAUAUCCACAUGUACUGUUUAUGCUUGUUUUUGUACUGUUUUGUUGAUUUUGUUUAUUUGCUUUAGUUUCCGACGUUCCGGAGGAGAGCGUUUCCGUUGAGGAAGGUUCCGAAGCGUUUGUGGAAGCCCAAGGCAAGUCACACAGAUCCUAACCACAACCCUUUGAGCAUGUUGAUCCUAUAUUUAAAUUCUCUAUUUAUUUCAACUGUGCAUUUAUUUUCGAAUGUCACCGGGUGGUGUGAACCUACUCCUUUGUUAUAGCCAAUUUGCAUUGAAUGCCCUAUUCCUUGAUACCUUGGGUAAUAAAUUGAUUAGCUUGAACCUUAUAUAUUGGAUUGGUUCAGCUAAAUGCUAUAUGUAAGUUUGCUUAGCUAUGCUUAGAAACAUUAGCUAACUAAAGGGGAUUAAUUAUAAACUAUGUUACAUUAUUAUUAUUAAUUAUGGUUACAUUUAAUGGUAGCUCACGAUGGUAAAUCGUGUGAUGUUAAUUAAUUGAUAAUUAAAACCUGGUUAAGGUGGGUUGUGAGCAUAUGGUUUUGAUGGUUGUGCUCAUGACAAUUAAGGACCGGUUCGCGAGCUACUGUUGUGAAACAUUUAUCGUGCCAACCACAAGCCAGCGUGGGCAACCGGCUUUAUCUUUUGUAUAGCGUGAUUCAUUAUAGUGCGCCAGACUGAGAAGUGGCGAGAAGUCCAUGGGGGUCGCUGGGGAGUCCAUGCCUUGUUUAUAAGGGGGUGAUUAUGAUCCAGGUACGGUGCACUUGUGGUGAAUUGUGUUAUGCGAGGGGUAUUGUCACCGACUCCUUUCCGAGGUAUCGUGGUGGUACUGAGGCACAUGGUGACAUGAUGUGGGGUUGUGUCUUGUGGGUACAGUGGUACACCUCUGAUCAGAGUUUAAAACUAUUCGAAUAGCCGUACCCGCGGUUAUGGGUGAGUUGAGCAAUGUUUUUCGUGAUUAGUCUCACACUACUCAUUAUUGGUGAAAAGGUGUAAUUGAUUUAAUUCCUGGUCUGGAAUGGCUAAUUCCUGGUUUGGAGGUUUAAUUUGUUCAAUUGGGGUUGGUUGUUCAAAUGUGGUUGGGCCUAUGCAACACGGGUGUGUUGUAUGGUGUUUAUUUAAUAUUGAUUAAUUAUUCAACUGUUUUACUAUUCUCUUAAAUAUUUAUUAAAUGUUGUUUUCUGCAAAUGAGCUAUAUUAUGCCAUCCUUUGUUAUCCUGUGCACUUGCAUAUUUGCUGUGUGGCUUGUUGAGUAUGUUAUAUGCUCAUUGUUGCAAUAUUCAUUCAUCAGAAGAGGAGUACUUCAGUGAAGGUGAUGAUCUGGAGGACUAGGCUUGUUCUUGGUUAAGUUGCCUGUGGAGUGGAGUCGCCAUCGCUGUUCCGUAGUUUGCCAUAGUUUUAUUUUCCGCUGCGUAGAAUGUUAUUUUUGUUUGAGAGGAACUAUCCACCUCUGUAAUAAUUUAUUAUUUUCGAAUAUUCCAUAGUUAAAUAUUUGUACUCUAUUAUCAAUAUUGUCAUUGUGUGCCUCGGUUGAUUCCUGGACGAGGGCUUAACACACAUGUAAGCGUUUGGAAUUUUGGAUAGAAAUUCCGGGCGUGACAGUGUAGCUGAUCCCUAACCACUUCAAGGGCCCCUAAAUGAGGAACCGGCUUUUCUAAAGUUGUGGUUUUGGCCUCAUUACGGAGAUGGAUUCUCUAUGCAAUGAUUCACUGUUUAGUCUUGCUGAGAAGGAAACAAGGUCGCCAAAGGCAGCCACCUGGAAGACUUACAUUUACAAUGCGGGUAGCUUCUUCCGAGUGCUUUCUUUAGCUGGCGCACCUCUUCGUCUUCUUUCUGUCGAUUUAUGACAAUGCCUGCAGGUUGCAAGUUGUCGUCCCACCAUUUGAUUAAGAUGGGGGGACGAGAAUCAGUAGUUGCCUUUAUGCGAGGGAUUUCUUCUCCGUCACCGCCUAGUGGUCCUGAUGUAUUCCCAAACAUUAGACAAGCAAGUCGGAGUUAUUCAGAUUGGCAUUACUUGAGAAGAUGGGUUACCUGAAGCAAUUUCCGGUUGAGCGUGAGGCGAUCCUUGCCCUUUAUCUGGGGACCCAGGCGUUGGGUCGUUACCAGCGUCCAGUCCUUGGGAAGUUGUAGCCUGAACUUCAACUUCAGGAAUUUCUUGAUCUGGACCUACUUCCGAUUGAUUGCCAGUCGGGGGCUCUUGGCUUGUUGCAGUUUCCGCUUCUGCCAACUGGUUUCCAGUCGGGGGCUGGUCGCUUGGGUUGACAUAAUCAGUUGAAGUCUGAACGCCAGUCGGGUGGUCCUCAGAAGUCGGCCCAGCUUCUUUGGAUGAACCUGUCUCUGUGUUAGCUGGAUCAGAGUCCUUCCCGGAUGGAUCUAUGUCAGACGGUUUCCUGCAAGUUUUCUUCCAGUUUUCAAUAUUAUCUUCAUGAGAGAAGCAUGUCGAAGUGAGAUGGUACCGAAUGGUUUAUACCUGGAGGAUUUUCUGAACUUUUUCUUCUUCGGAGCAGUGUGCUUUGGUAGUUUUUUGGGUGAUCCCUUAUCCCCAAAUUUAUUAUUGUCGUCGCCUUCGUCGUCGCUUAGCACAAGUUUUCUCUUGCGAGAAUCUGAUUGCCCAGUCGGAUUGGGAGUUUUGGAUUGGGAGUCUGACCUGAUUUUUGGUCCUCCACUCCCCUGAACGGUCUGAUGACGAGGAGAUCGGCGUUGAGCAAUUGGGGGGUCAGACUUCAUCAAAGCAAAUUCCUGAAUGAAAUGCCUCCACGGUCUGUUAAUUCAACAAGAAGACAAAAUUAUGUUUUGGUCGCGGUUUGAAGAGUUCUGAUACAUACCAGCGGAGAUGGGUUGAAUGCAUUAUAUGGCACGACUGGCAGCAGAUGCAAAUAACUGACAACGAUGGCGUUUGAGAAUAUCUUGUACAUCCUCUCCUUCAUGAUCUUAAGUCCAGAGAAUCUGGGUCUUCACGGUUUGGAUCAUGUUUACCAUCAAACUCGAAAGCUGUGCGGGAUCUCUCUUUGAUUGGAGCUAAUCGGCACUUAAUGAAAUGCCGAGUGAUUUGCUCUCCCUGCAAGCCUUGCUCCUUGAGCUUCAGCAUGCGCUCCAUCAGUUCUAAGGCUUGGGCAGCUUCAUCUCCCAUGGGCAGUGAGUUCCAAUUAUCUUGGUAUACUAGGGGAAGACAGGAGUACUCGGGAAGAGCGGGCUCGGGAUUUUGGACAUAAAACCAGUUGGCAUGCCAUCCUUUGUUUGAGGUCUUGAAGGGCAUAGAAAAAUACUUUUGGCUCAAGGUCCCUCUCAGUUGAAAUCCAGCCCCUCCAACUACGCAUGGUUUGCUUUUGUUCGGUUGGGGCUUGAGGAAGAAGAUUCGGCGGAACAGAGCAAAAUGAGGCCUAAUGCCCAAAAAAGCUUCGCAGACAUGGACGAAAUUUGCAAUAUGGACUAUGGAGUUUGGAUUCAAAUGAUGUAAAUUGAUUCCAUAGAAGUUCAAUAUCCCACGGAAAAACUUCGAGGUUGGAAGAGCAAAUCCGCCAUAGAAGAAGUGAGAAAAAAACCACGACCUCAUGUGUAUCGGGGGUCAGGAAAGCUUCACCAAAUGCUGGCCGCCAUCCGAUGAUCUCCUUUGCUGGGAGAACGCCGUGCGCCACCAUCUCCUUCAAGUUCUCCUCCAUCAAGUCGGACGACGCCCAUUGGCUUUCAAAGCUUUCUUUUUCUUCCGCCAUCGAUUUGAUCCGAAUGAGUUGAUUUGAUUCGAGGGAUGGCUGGGGAGAGAUGUGGAAUUGAAGCGAUGAGUUGCGUGGAGGAUUUUUGUGAACUUUUUGGAGGUGGAUUGGAGUGGAAUGGUGAACCCUAGUUUCGCCGGCGCAGCUCUGUACUAUAGCAAGGAAUGGGGGAAAUGGUGAGAGUUCCGGCGGGGAAGACGAAGCGCCGCUUAGACUUCGGGAUUUUUUGUUAAGGGUUUCGGGGGUGCUAAUGUGCCUAGGCCUGAACAGUACUUCAGCCCAAUAUUAUUAACAGCGUGGCCCGUUGUGCUCCUUAGGGACUUAGGCAUUUUUGCUUUGGCAAUUUAUGCUCGCAAUGGUGUGGCCCAAUGCUGAUAAAAUCCUUUUUAAUGCAGUUAUAUAAUUCUUCGGAAUUAUUGCAAUGCAAAUUGAAAUGUACUCGACAGAAAAGUGUUAUACUAUUUUUGUAAGCUUUUUUAGGCUGCAAAAGCUAUCUGGGUUGAUUUGAGAUGACUUGUUUUUACAAUGGUCAUUCUCUUGGCGUGUUAUAUGCCUAUUUUAAUUAUGGUGAGAGUCAUAGCCUAGGCUAUUAGACUUAUUAAUUACCAUAAUUUUUAUAACAUUUGAUGGAUUAUCUUUAGAGUUUUUUACUCGGAUGCCUGUCAAAUAUGUUCAUUUGUGAACCUUUUAGAGUGUUAUUCACUCGGAUUCUUUUUACUAUGGCUGGAAAGCAGUCGGCUGAAUGUUUUGUUGGACGCCGCAUAUGCUUUUGUCAUAUGAUGCAUGAUUAUGCGAUUAUUUUGUUCUUGACUACAUGUUUAGUUUGUUAACUAAUCAUAUAGUCGGGGGCAACACCUAAUUAGGUGCAUCUAUUCGAUGCACCAUGUUUUUUAUUUUUCGCCCUUUACAGUCUUCGUCUUUGCUACUCGGCAGGCCUUAGCAGGGAAAAAUUAAAGCACUCGGAUUAUUAUUUUUGAGAGAGCUAUGUUGUCGACUGCAAAGGUCUCGGGGGCUACUGUGGAGAUUAUAGAUACCCCAUAUUUACACGGCGGUUAUAUUUAGACUGGAUAUAUGAUACCGAAUAUAGAUAGAAUAUCUUUAUUUGUAUCUCGGGUUUGUUUCUUAACUUGUACGUCAAGGAAAUACCCUGAGGUUUAGUCGGUUACGAUUGUAUUUUAUCUGUAUUCUCGUAUUCUGUUAGGGGUAUGAGUUAUACCUUGUAAUACGGACUCCUUCCUCUAUAUAAGGAGGGGUCCGAGUCCUUCCUGGGACAUCAAUUUUCUGGGAGAUCUUACAUUCAAUAAUACACUCGGCGGUUUCAUCCCCGGACAGGAGUAGGGUAUUACUUCUUGAAUAAGAAGGCCUGAACCUGUAUAAAUCCUUUGUCUCCAAACCCAUGCACUUUUCCAGCUUGAUAGCCACCCCCUUUUAGUAUUGCCGAAAUCUUGUUUCGACACAAACCCUGCAUGGAAGCUGCUACAAAAAGAAACAAUGAGAAUGAAGGAACCCAAAUCCAGCCACUCAAAGGAAGUUAAAAGUUCAACCAAUGGCGAAAGAACUGUUGUCUUCUUGGGUCAACGGGCAAGGUUGGGGAAGAGGAAACCUGCAAAAGAGGGCUUGAGGAAUCUGGCUUGGGAGGGCUAUCAACCACCGAAUCGUGAGGAGAUGGGUGGUGGAGGUUGAGCUUUGGGCAUAUCAGCGGUGGGGUCAACAAUGACAUCGUCACAGCAGAGGACGACCCGAGCAACAAUGGCAUCGUCAUAGGGGGCGGCGAGCUGCAAGAUCGCCACCGCCGUCCCAAGCUGCCCGAACCGCAAGCGGAUCAAACCUCCUCCACACGGGCCUCCUCUAGCUUGGCCUCCUUCUCAUUCUCCACGCUAGUCUGUGAGGUAUGCAAGAGCUUGCAUCCCCGGCAACUGUAGUGCCCCAAUUUUCGUUCGGGAUUAAAAAAUCAUUUAAUAAUGCAUUUUCUAGAAUUUAAAUAAAAAUUAAAUCAAUUUAAUCAAGAGAAUUAUUGAGGAAAUUAAAAUUUCCUUUAAAAAUCAUUAGCCGGGAAUAUUUUGUAAUAUUCUUUGUGCCCUAAUAUACUCUCUCAAAUUUCCCGCGAAUUUUCGCAGCUCAAGAAGUAAUUUUAAUAGCACAAAGUUCAUUUAAUCAAUUAGAAUAUAAAGAAAACCAAAUAAAUCUCUCCUUCCUCCCUUGGGCAAUUUUCAGCUCAAGCCUUCCUUCUCUCUCCCGCGGCCCGCGCGCCUCCUUCUCUCGGGUCGGCCCAGCUCGCUCCCCCCUCCAAGUCUAUUCCCCCCCCUCAAACCGGUCUCUGCUCUCCUCAGGCCGACAGGUGGGACCCAUGGGCCCCACCUGCCAUCCCCAAUCCCCAGCCAUCCCAAGCCCAACCACGCCAUGCCGCCAUGCCGCCCACGACGCCGCCGUUUUCACAACCUCUCACUCGCGCGCUCGCAUCCAAACCGAGAGCAACCGCAACCCCUCCACCUCCUCCACACUCUCCUCACGUUUCCCCCAAAAAUCACGCCGGGAUGGAGCUCCAUUUCGCCCACGAUGUCGCCCACGUCGCCGGCCGUUGCCGCCCCAAAACAGCCACUCCCCGGCCUCCCCGUUGCUCCCUCGUGCCAUAAAGAGCCUCCCCGUGCAAGUUUUUCUUUUUUAAAAAAAGAAGGCAAUUACAUAAUAAAGUGACAACAUGAGAAUUUGCACUCAGCACUCGAUCAGCAGCUCUUGUAAGAACCAAGCAUGCAUGCGUGCUUGCUUACGAGAUAUUGUCAGCAGUUAAGGUCAUGCAUGGCUCACCCUGCUACCCUUCAAUCAGCAGUGGUGCCUCAUCACAGUCAUAGCGAUUGCCCGCCGCCGGCGCACUGGAGGCGUCUUCCUCUGUCGUUGAUGCCAAAGUAGUGUUGACGACGAUCAAGCUGUUAAGGGCAGGCAACGGUCCGUCACGCUCCAGGACAUCCAUAGCUUGCCGCAUAGAAGGGCGGUGUUGAGUCUCCAAAGCAGAGCACCAGAGCCCCAAUACGAUGACACGCUCUAUCUCUCUCAUAUCAAGGCCACCACCAAUGGUUAACCUUGUAUCCGCCGCCUCGACAACAUUGCCACCUCUUCGGUAUAGGUCCCAGAUUUGCUCCCUGUGCCUCCUUGCGCAGGCGAUCUCGAGAAGGGCGAUGCCGAAGCUGUACACGUCUGAGCUACGCUUGAACGGGACCUUACCGUGUUUCAGACACUGUGGAUCAAGGUACCCUUCCGAGCCUAUGGCAGUUGUCAGCAACGUUGCAUUGUCUUGGUUUGCCAUCCUCGAUAGGCCAAAUUCGGCGAGCUUGGCGUUGAAAUUUUCAUCCAAGAGUACAUUGCCUGGUUUGAUGUCUCUAUGCAGGAUAUGUGGGUCGCACUCGUGAUGUAGGUAGAGCAGACCCGAUCUAAUGUCCUUGGCUAUUUUGUACCUGUUUGAUCGAUCAUGGUUAGAUAAAUACAUAGAUUGACUAUAAACAUUCUUAGUUAAUUUAAUGCCAACAGAAACCAUACUUUCAAAGCAACAUAUAUAUAUUAUAGUGGAUUUUAGUGUUGUGCUUGUCGGUUUUUUAAGACAAACCACAGUAGGAUGGUAAUUUAUGAUUUGUUAACACUAGUACAGAUCCUUCUAUCUGUGAUGGGCUCUAAUCUGCUUAGAAAUAGCGGCCCGUCAUAAGAAAGUCAUCUCAAUCGGGCCGAAAAGUGCCCGAUUGAGAUAUGGUCGUACAGACAUGUUAGAUGGGCAUAAAACUUAAGCCCGUCAUGAAUGACACCUAUCAAUGACGGGCCGUAGUUUAGGCCCGAUUGAGAUAACAUUCCAUAUCUCGGCCUCAAGUUGUGGCACGUCACGGAUGACCAUCAUCCGUGACGGGCCAUAACUUGAGGCCCGUUUGAGAUAACAACAGGCCCGUCACAGAUGACUCAUUAGUGACGGGCUAUAUACUUAAUCUCUAUCGGGCAUUAACUAAAGCCCGUCACCGAUGACUAUUUUUAUAUUUUUCAUAUGAAAUGUUUAUAUUUGUAAGUUGACUAUAGGAAAAUAAUUAAGUGCAGUAUAAUAAUUCAUUUUAUGAGUCAAAACAAUUUUACGGGUAGUAAAUGAUUUCAAAUGGAAAAAAUGUCAACAAUAAAGUUGUAUAACUUAUCAAGAUUUUCAACUUUUAGUUUGGUCAUUUUUCUAUAUAACAUUUCUUUUGAACAGUUUGAAUUUAAAUUUGAAAAUAUGACAACUUCAAACAACAUUUUUAAAUACUAAAUGAUUUCAAUUGAAAAAGUCAUCAACAACAAAGUUGAAUAACUCAUCAAGUUCUAAAACUUUUAUUUUUGUUAUUUCUUCAUCCGAAGAAAUGUUAGUAAUAUUAUUCACAAAUUUUACAUAUAUGUGUUAUAGUUUAUAAACGAGAUAAGAGAUAUGUCAAUUUUGCGAACAAUGUUACUAUCACUUUGUCGUAUGAAGAAAUGACCAAAAUAAAAGUUUUAGAUCUUGAUGAGUUAUUCAACUUUGUUGUUGAUAACUUUUUCAGUUGAUAUAUUUUUGUAUUUGAAAAUGUUGUUUGAAGUUGUCAUAUUUUUAAAUUCAAAUUCAAACGGUUCAAAAAAAAUGUUAUAUAGAAAAAUGACCAAAAUAAAAGCUGUAGAUGUUGAUGAGUUAUACAACUUUGUUGUUGAUGACUUUUUCAGUUGAAUCGUUCACUGAUCUAAAAUUCUAUUUGAACUUUUCAAAAUUUGAAUUUCAAAUUGUAUAAAUAGAGUUAGAUGGAGAAAUGACCGAAAUAAAAAUUUUGCACCUCGAUGAGUUCUACAACUUUGGUUUUGGUGACUUUUCCAUUUGAAAUCAUUUAAUAACCCCAAUUUGACAUCCUGGGCUAGGGCUUAAUAGGAUUAAUAGAAUACCCAUACCAAACUUGUUGAAAAGCCUUUCUAAGAUUCUCCAUCUUCCUCCCUUGGUAAGAACCCUUCGACUUGUUGUUGUUGGACUUGUUGUUGUUGGUCUUCUCACCAUCUUUGUCUUCUUUUUUGCCUCUCUCAAACUUAGGACAAUGCGAACGAAGAUGAUCAAUUGAACCACAUUCAAAGCAACGAUUUGGACCACCUCUUUUCCUGUUCCUGGCAUUAUUCAUAGCUCGAGCAAUUCUGUUAGCAACCAAAGCCAAAUCCUCCUCCUCGAUUUGUUCGAGUUGAUCAUCGGAUGUGGCAUUAAUAACAGCAAGAAAAGACGACUUAGAUGAAGAGGCAUCAAUAUCCAAAGAAGAAGAAGAAGAAACCAAAGCACUCGAUUUAGAAUCAACUUUUCGAGAAAGAACAUUCAUCUCAUGUGUUUUCAAUUUAGUAUAAAGUGAAUCCAAAGUCAAAGUAUACAUGUUAACAGACUCCUGAAUAGAUGCAACUUUCAUCUCCCAAAUAGACAUGUCGAGACCAUUCAAAAAGUGAUGAGAAAUCUCAGAUUGUGGAUAAUUAGCAUCAUAAGAAGAAUCAACAGAUCUAAGAUCACUCAAAAUUUUAUUAAACCUAGAAAGAUAGUCAUCCAAAGCUUUUCCAGGUUUCAUAUCAAAUUUAAUGUACUCCUUUUUAAAAAGAUCUCGACGAAGCUCUUUAAUGUUAUUUGUUCCUUGAUGAAAAUUACUCAAAGCAAUCCAAAUCUCAUGAGCAGUUUGAAGAUGAACAACACGAUCAUAAUCCGAACAAGAAAUACCACUCAAAAGAAUGUUGCGAGCUUUGCAAUUUUGUUCAAAAGCAGUUUUUUCAGCAGCAGUAUUAAUAGCUUCAGGAAUCACAUAAGCAUGAGAAACUUUUCUCCAAAUAUCAUAAUCUUCAGCCAUAAUAUAAGAUUGCAUCCUACUACAUCAAUGAGAAAAAUCCGUUCCAUCGAAAACAUGAGGCUUAGUUGAAAACCUAGCGGGAGUAGCCAUGGCAAAAACUCUAGAUCGGUAAAAAUCCAAAGAAGAAAACAAGGCUCUGAUACCACUUGUAGGAUCGAAUCACAAGAACUAAGCCAACCAGAGGGGGGGUGAAUGAUUGGUAUACCCAAAAACUGAAAACUUUUAGUGGAAAUAAAAGUUACCCUCGAAAUCGAAGAAAGUCGGUCUGACCGAGAUUGAUCUGCCGGUCUGACUGAGUGGAUGCCACCGGUCUGACCGCCGAGAUCGCCUGCUGCGCCUGUCGCCGCCGCCGGUCUGCCCGCCUGUAUGCUGUCGGUCUGACCGCCGCUUGCCGCUGGCCUGUCACGCCCGGAAAUUCACUAGUAAUUUCCGAACUUAUUUGUGCAUAAAAUCCUCGUCCAGGAAUCAGCCGAGGUACACAAACUGACAAUUUAAUAUACAGAUUCAUCAAAUUAACUAGAACGAUAAAUACUUACUUAUGAGGCACUUAGUCCUCACCAAGAAGAAAACUGCAGCGGAAAAUAAAAUCUAGCGAAGCUCCAGCUCCACUCCCACAGGCAGCUCAACUGGGGUAUAAGCCAAACGUCUUCUCCUUCUGGAUCCUUUUUCUUCAACUGAGGUUGAUUGAUUAUUGCAAGGUGAGCAUAUGACAUACUCAGCAAGCCACACAGCAAAUAUGCAAGUGCACAAGGAUACCAAAGGAUGGCAUAAUAUAGGCUCAUUUGCAAAAGCAGCAUUUAGCAAAACAUUUAAAAGAAGUAAAACAGUGGAGUAAUUAAUCAGAAAUUUUAAUCAACACUGAACAACACGCCCAUGCUGCACAGGCCCAACCAUUCUAAACAACCAUACCCGGCUGAACAAAUCUAACUCCAAACCAGGAGCUAAGCAAAUUAUUACCAGGUAUAACAUCCAUAAUUAUUGUGAGAGGUGUGAGACUAAUCACGAAAAACAUUGCUCAACUCGCCCAUAACCGCGGGCACGGCUAUUCGAAUAGUUUUACUCUGGCCAGAGGUGUACCACUGUACCCACAAGACACAGCCUCAACAUCAUGUCUACCAUGCGUCGCGAUACUGGAAAGUACCCGAAUAGAGGCUGUGACAAUACCCUCUGCACAACACAACUCACCACAGUGCACCAUUCCCGGAUCAUAGUCACCCCCUUAUAAACAAGGUAUGGACUCCCCAGCGACCCCCGUGGGCUUAUCUCCGCCACUUCUCAACCUGGUGCUCUGCAGUGAACCAUGCUAUACAAAAGGUAAAGCCGUUGCCCACGCUGGUUUGUGGUUGGCACGGUUAAUGUUUCACAAUAGUAGCUCGCGAACCGGUCCUUAAUUGUCAUGAGCACGACUCUCAAAACCAUGUGCUCACAACCCACCAUUAUCCAGUUUUAGUUGGCAAAUAAUUAAUUAACCAAUCACAAGUAAUUAAUUAACCAAUCACAAUUGACCAUCGUGAGCUACCAUUAAAUAUAACCAUAAGUGAUAGUGAAACAUUAGUUAUCCCAAUUGUGUGCUAAUGUUUCUAAGCAUGGCAAAGCAAUUACCUCUAAUAUCUAGCUGAACCAAUAUAUAAAGCUCAACUAGUCAAAUUAUAAUCUCCCAAGGUAACAAGGAAUAAAGUAAUCAAGAACAAAAGGGCCAUAACAAAGAAUAGGUUAAUUCCACCCAAUGACAUUCGAAAAUAAAUGCACAGUUGAAAUAAAUAGAGAAUUUAAAUAUAGGAUCAACAUGCUCAAAGGAUUGUGUUUAGGAUCUGUGUGACUUGCCUUGCAAUAAUCGGUCUUCAAUUAAUCUUCUUGAAUACUUCCGGCGCACUCGCGAACCUUCGCAACGACGGAAACGACAAGCUAACACGCAAAAUGAAGAAAAAGACUAAUAAAAACCAAAUAAACAGUACAUAAAAAGUAAACAAACAUGUAGAUCAUAAUUUUAGAUGAUUUAUGAGACUUGAACGGCCUCAUUCUGACUUCAAAUGAAUUUAUUAUGAAUUUUACAAGAUUAAAUCUAUUUAAAGCCCAUUUAAAAAGAAUUAAAUAAAUUUAAUUCAAUUUAUGGACAAUUUUAAAAUGUAGAUCUUUAUUUUACACAACUUUUGCAACUUGAACCACAUUAAACUGAGUUCAAAUGAAUUAGUUAUGAAUUUUUAAAGAUUAAAUCGGAUUAAAACACUUAUAUUGAUUUUAAUUGAAUUAUGACGCCAUAAUGAAUUAUUUUUGAAAAGGAAAAGAAGGAUUAUUGCGUCAGCGGCUAGGGUUUGCGGUGGACCGGGUGCACGGCAGCGGCUCACGGAAACGAACGGCCGAGAUCAACCCUAUCCAAAACGGACGGCCGAGAUCAAACGGUCCACGACCGGCUUACGGCGGACGAUCCCGAUGACGUCAGCGAUGACGGCAGCGAUGACGUCAGCACCGGCGGCGACUCGGGCGGCUCGGGCGCGCAUGCUCGCCGGCGAACGACGGCACGUCGGCGCGAACGGAGGGCACCAACGGGUAGAGGGCGACGCGGCGAACUCACCGGUGACCAAAACAACGGCGGAAGGGCAACGGACGGCGCCGGCGACGAGGAAGAAGCGGCGGCGGAGAAGCGGACGAGGACGGCGGCGACUUGACGACCACGAUGGCGGCGACGGCGACUGACGACGGCGGCUGCAACGGCGGCGCGACGCGGCUGAACCGACGGCAACGACGGCGGCGACUAGGGCUACGCGGAGGCGGCGCUAGACGCGACGGCAGGCUAAGGCAAAGGUGGCGGCGGAUAGAGGAGAGCUCGGGGGUCCUUUUAAAGGGGCUAGCGAGCGGCGAUGGAGGCCCACGGCGACCGGCGACGGCGAAGGAAAGCUAGGGUUCGGAGGAGAGAAGAAUCCGAUUCGACCUCGAUUCCAUCGAGUUUCCAAACCGAAUUAGGUGACGAUUCCAAAAGAGAAAAGGAAGAGGGAAUCAAGAGGAUCAUUUCCCCUCUAUCAAUUCGGCCGGAGAUGGAAAGGAGCGACGGAAUUGGAAAGCGACGGCGGCGCGGCUCGGCUAGGGUUUGCGGGCGGCGGCGGCCGAAGGAGGAAGACGGCUCCGACAAGCGGGCCCCACCUGUCAGCGACAGCGAGAGAGAGAGGAGAGCGGCGGCUCGGCGGACUGGGCCGGACUGGGCCGAGGAGAGAGAGAAGAGAGGUUUUGGGCCGGCUUUCGGCCAAAGCCAAAAGAAGACUUUUUAAAACCUUUUUCAAUUUAAAUUAUUUCUUAAAUGCAAUUCCAUUUAUUAAAAAUACUUCCUUAGCUCAAAUAAAUCCCAGAAAAAUCUAGGAAUUAUAGAAUUAAGCAAAGUAUUUAACAAAAUUUUAUCUAGCCCAAUUUUAUAUUGAGAUUUAGCAAAUUAAAAUUAGAUCUUCUCCUUUAGGCUUUUAAAAUCAUUUCUAAUUAUUCCUUUUAAACAACAAUUUAUAAUUUAAGGAUUUUAAACCAGAAAAGCUCUUAACAAUUAUAAUUAGAUCAUUAAUGAUCAAAUAAUUACUGAACUGUUCUUUGUAUUAUUUAAGAAUUGAGCUCUGAAAAAUCCGAGAAAAUUUCAGAGAGUAUAAUUAACCAUGGAGAAUCAAAUAAUUACUGAACUGUUCUUUGUAUUAUUUAAGAAUUGAGCUCUGAAAAAUCCGAGAAAAUUUCAGAGAGUAUAAUUAACCAUGGAGAAUUUAAUAAAAAUUAAAUCCAUCCAUGCUUUAUAUUUAGGAAAUUUUAUUUCCCACAUUUAACUUCACUUGUAAAUUAAAGAUCAUUUAAUAUAAAUUAUAUUAUUAAUUUAUUAAAUAAUUUAUAAAUCCUGAAACAAAAAAUCAGGAUGUGACAAACUACCCCCCUUACAAAGAAUCUCGUCCCGAGAUUCGGAACGGCUAGAAAGAAAAAGGGAAUAGGCAAACUGCAGUCUAUCUUAUUCCAUCACUCCGAUAAUUAUUCUAAGGCUUUAAAGAAAACUACUGCUGCUUUGAAACUGGUGGCUGAGUUGUAACACUUGAAGACACAACUCUUGAAGACGCAACUGGCACUGCAUUGGCUCCUGUGACGACAAUGUUGUUGACUUGACCUUGUGGCUGCGGAUGCUUCGGCUUCGGACACUCUCUAGCAAAGUGGCCUGGCUUGUAACAGUUGAAGCAUACCUGCUGCUCCCUUCCACUACUGUUAUUCGACUGAUCUUGCUGAACUGGCACCGACUGAUUAGCUUGCUCGAUGUUAAGUUCAUUGCUUUCAUUAGUCUCUAAUUUGAUCUCACCACCGAUGUUCAACUGCUGCGACUGUCCUUGACCAGCGGAAGAGGAUUCACCAAUUUGGAGUGGCUUGAUACGCUGCCUCUGGCUACUACCUUGUGCCUCCUGGAAAACAGUCAUUUUCCUUUUACGGUUAUCCAUCCUGUUCUUCUUGUCUUCAAGUCGAAUUGCUUUGUCAACCAACUGCUGAAAAUCAACAUAGUCAUGGGAGAUUAACGUAACUGAUAGUUCAUCCUUCAGACCUUCCAGGAACUUCUCCUGCCUUUCCUCGUCAGUACGCACAUCUUCUGGAGCAUAACGUGCCAGACGAUUGAACUCAUGAAGAUAUUCUGCCACGGUUUGAUCCUUUUGCUUCAAUGCCCUGAACUCACGCUUCUUCAAAGAAACAACUCCUGUAGGUAUGUGUGUCUUCUUGAAUGCCUCCGUGAACUCCACCCAAGUGAUUGGUUGUCCUUCUGCUCUGUUCAUCCGGAAAUGAUCCCACCAUUCUGAUGCAGGUCCUUGCAACUGAUGUGAAGCGAAAACAACUUUCUCCUGAUCCGUGCACUGGAGCAGUUCCAACUUCUUCUCAAUAGCGUGCAGCCAAUCACCUGCUUCCACUGGGUUGGUUGUGCUAGAAAAGGUAGGUGGCCUCACACGAAGAAAAUCAGCUAACUUGUUCUGCGGCGGUGGAGCAUUGUUAUUUCCUUGGUUGAGCUGGUUCUGCAUCUGUUGUAUCAUCAUGUUCAUUAACUGAGUCUGUUGAGCCAGAACUUGAGCAAGAGUUGGGUUAUCUUCAUUGUUAUUGUUUCCACUUCCACUUGCGCGAGUGUUCACCAUCUGUUGCAGAUUAGAGAAGAUAGAAGGAGAGGGGUUACACUAAAGACAAGACCUUAACCAGGUUAAAACUGAUCUGAUGUGUGUAGACCAUUAUAUUGUUCAAGUUGAUUAAGCAAACAACCUAGUAUAGUUACACACUCAUCAUUGAACUACUCCAAUGAUGGGAAUGCAACCAUACCUACACACAAGCAAACAACAAACGUUCUACCCUACUAACUAUUCUUCAAAGACACUUUGGCGGCAUAGGUUCUAAGAUAGGAUCCAAACUUCAUUCCAUCUUGACCACUUGGCUCUUCAGAUCGACCAUCACCUUCUUAUUCAUCGAUCCACUUGACUUAACCUCCAUAAGUUGCCCACAUCAGCAUCUUCUAGUUUCAACCACUAGUUUUAGAACUACUCAAGUUGAACGAGAGAGGAGAGUAGACAAUGAAACAAUUUGCAAAGAAUUCUAGAUAAGGAAGAAAGGAGAAAUUUUCACAAAUCAUGUUUUCGGAAAAUUAGUCCUUAAGGUUUGACCAUUUGGCUUAUCCUACAGUCGAGAUGGCUCUGAUACCAACUUGUCACGCCCGGAAAUUCACUAGUAAUUUCCGAACUUAUUUGUGCAUAAAAUCCUCGUCCAGGAAUCAGCCGAGGUACACAAACUGACAAUUUAAUAUACAGAUUCAUCAAAUUAACUAGAACGAUAAAUACUUACUUAUGAGGCACUUAGUCCUCACCAAGAAGAAAACUGCAGCGGAAAAUAAAAUCUAGCGAAGCUCCAGCUCCACUCCCACAGGCAGCUCAACUGGGGUAUAAUCCAAACGUCUUCUCCUUCUGGAUCCUUUUUCUUCAACUGAGGUUGAUUGAUUAUUGCAAGGUGAGCAUAUGACAUACUCAGCAAGCCACACAGCAAAUAUGCAAGUGCACAAGGAUACCAAAGGAUGGCAUAAUAUAGGCUCAUUUGCAAAAGCAGCAUUUAGCAAAACAUUUAAAAGAAGUAAAACAGUGGAGUAAUUAAUCAGAAAUUUUAAUCAACACUGAACAACACGCCCAUGCUGCACAGGCCCAACCAUUCUAAACAACCAUACCCGGCUGAACAAAUCUAACUCCAAACCAGGAGCUAAGCAAAUUAUUACCAGGUAUAACAUCCAUAAUUAUUGUGAGAGGUGUGAGACUAAUCACGAAAAACAUUGCUCAACUCGCCCAUAACCGCGGGCACGGCUAUUCGAAUAGUUUUACUCUGGCCAGAGGUGUACCACUGUACCCACAAGACACAGCCUCAACAUCAUGUCUACCAUGCGUCGCGAUACUGGAAAGUACCCGAAUAGAGGCUGUGACAAUACCCUCUGCACAACACAACUCACCACAGUGCACCAUUCCCGGAUCAUAGUCACCCCCUUAUAAACAAGGUAUGGACUCCCCAGCGACCCCCGUGGGCUUAUCUCCGCCACUUCUCAACCUGGUGCUCUGCAGUGAACCAUGCUAUACAAAAGGUAAAGCCGUUGCCCACGCUGGUUUGUGGUUGGCACGGUUAAUGUUUCACAAUAGUAGCUCGCGAACCGGUCCUUAAUUGUCAUGAGCACGACUCUCAAAACCAUGUGCUCACAACCCACCAUUAUCCAGUUUUAGUUGGCAAAUAAUUAAUUAACCAAUCACAAGUAAUUAAUUAACCAAUCACAAUUGACCAUCGUGAGCUACCAUUAAAUAUAACCAUAAGUGAUAGUGAAACAUUAGUUAUCCCAAUUGUGUGCUAAUGUUUCUAAGCAUGGCUAAGCAAUUACCUCUAAUAUCUAGCUGAACCAAUAUAUAAAGCUCAACUAGUCAAAUUAUAAUCUCCCAAGGUAACAAGGAAUAAAGUAAUCAAGAACAAAAGGGCCAUAACAAAGAAUAGGUUAAUUCCACCCAAUGACAUUCGAAAAUAAAUGCACAGUUGAAAUAAAUAGAGAAUUUAAAUAUAGGAUCAACAUGCUCAAAGGAUUGUGUUUAGGAUCUGUGUGACUUGCCUUGCAAUAAUCGGUCUUCAAUUAAUCUUCUUGAAUACUUCCGGCGCACUCGCGAACCUUCGCAACGACGGAAACGACAAGCUAACACGCAAAACGAAGAAAAAGACUAAUAAAAACCAAAUAAACAGUACAUAAAAAGUAAACAAACAUGUAGAUCAUAAUUUUAGAUGAUUUAUGAGACUUGAACGGCCUCAUUCUGACUUCAAAUGAAUUUAUUAUGAAUUUUACAAGAUUAAAUCUAUUUAAAGCCCAUUUAAAAAGAAUUAAAUAAAUUUAAUUCAAUUUAUGGACAAUUUUAAAAUGUAGAUCUUUAUUUUACACAACUUUUGCAACUUGAACCACAUUAAACUGAGUUCAAAUGAAUUAGUUAUGAAUUUUUAAAGAUUAAAUCGGAUUAAAACACUUAUAUUGAUUUUAAUUGAAUUAUGACGCAAUAAUGAAUUAUUUUUAAAAAGGAAAAGAAGGAUUAUUGCGUCAGCGGCUAGGGUUUGCGGUGGACCGGGUGCACGGCAGCGGCUCACGGAAACGAACGGCCGAGAUCAACCCUAUCCAAAACGGACGGCCGAGAUCAAACGGUCCACGACCGGCUUACGGCGGACGAUCCCGAUGACGUCAGCGAUGACGGCAGCGAUGACGUCAGCACCGGCGGCAACUCGGGCGGCUCGGGCGCGCAUGCUCGCCGGCGAACGACGGCACGUCGGCGCGAACGGAGGGCACCAACGGGUAGAGGGCGACGCGGCGAACUCACCGGUGACCAAAACAACGGCGGAAGGGCAACGGACGGCGCCGGCGACGAGGAAGAAGCGGCGGCGGAGAAGCGGACGAGGACGGCGGCGACUUGACGACCACGAUGGCGGCGACGGCGACCGACGACGGCGGCUGCAACGGCGGCGCGACGCGGCUGAACCGACGGCAACGACGGCGGCGACUAGGGCUACGCGGAGGCGGCGCUAGACGCGACGGCAGGCUAAGGCAAAGGUGGCGGCGGAUAGAGGAGAGCUCGGGGGUCCUUUUAAAGGGGCUAGCGAGCGGCGACGGAGGCCCACGGCGACCGGCGACGGCGAAGGAAAGCUAGGGUUCGGAGGAGAGAAGAAUCCGAUUCGACCUCGAUUCCAUCGAGUUUCCAAACCGAAUUAGGUGACGAUUCCAAAAGAGAAAAGGAAGAGGGAAUCAAGAGGAUCAUUUCCCCUCUAUCAAUUCGGCCGGAGAUGGAAAGGAGCGACGGAAUUGGAAAGCGACGGCGGCGCGGCUCGGCUAGGGUUUGCGGGCGGCGGCGGCCGAAGGAGGAAGACGGCUCCGACAAGCGGGCCCCACCUGUCAGCGACAGCGAGAGAGAGAGGAGAGCGGCGGCUCGGCGGACUGGGCCGGACUGGGCCGAGGAGAGAGAGAAGAGAGGUUUUGGGCCGGCUUUCGGCCCAAAGCCAAAAGAAGACUUUUUAAAACCUUUUUCAAUUUAAAUUAUUUCUUAAAUGCAAUUCCAUUUAUUAAAAAUACUUCCUUAGCUCAAAUAAAUCCCAGAAAAAUCUAGGAAUUAUAGAAUUAAGCAAAGUAUUUAACAAAAUUUUAUCUAGCCCAAUUUUAUAUUGAGAUUUAGCAAAUUAAAAUUAGAUCUUCUCCUUUAGGCUUUUAAAAUCAUUUCUAAUUAUUCCUUUUAAACAACAAUUUAUAAUUUAAGGAUUUUAAACAAGAAAAGCUCUUAACAAUUAUAAUUAGAUCAUUAAUGAUCAAAUAAUUACUGAACUGUUCUUUGUAUUAUUUAAGAAUUGAGCUCUGAAAAAUCCGAGAAAAUUUCAGAGAGUAUAAUUAACCAUGGAGAAUCAAAUAAUUACUGAACUGUUCUUUGUAUUAUUUAAGAAUUGAGCUCUGAAAAAUCUGAGAAAAUUUCAGAGAGUAUAAUUAACCAUGGAGAAUUUAAUAAAAAUUAAAUCCAUCCAUGCUUUAUAUUUAGGAAAUUUUAUUUCCCACAUUUAACUUCACUUGUAAAUUAAAGAUCAUUUAAUAUAAAUUAUAUUAUUAAUUUAUUAAAUAAUUUAUAAAUCCUGAAACAAAAAAUCAGGAUGUGACAUGGCCUGACCGCCGGUAGAUCGCCGGUUAGACCGCCGAAACCCGGUAAACACAAAUCGAAUAACUCUUAAAGUGGAUGACGACUUUAUUGAUUCUCUCUGUGUUUACAAAGUGCACCAACAGCACUCCUUACAAAAAUUUUGACUAAACUCGAAACCCUAACUCAAAACUCAACUCAAUUGCUCUCUAAAGCGAUACCGGGAAGCCUCACGCUCCCCCUCUAUUUAUACAUGAGGUAGGCAGCCUAAAGCCACGAACCAAACUUAUACUAGGAGUCCUAAACACCUUAGGAAACCCUCUAGUACAAGAAAGAAACUUUACAUAACCAAUCGUACCAAAUUUGAACUCCUUCCAAAUUCAACUACGCAUCCUAUACGUACACAAUAACUUCAUUGUAUGCCAUAUGGAAUCUCCAUCAACCACGUGCAUCAACUAUAGCCUAAGUAUCCCGCAUGAUCUCUGACCACCACGGACGUCGUCUUAUCCCCAAGCCGACUCCCGGUCCAUCACCGCAAAUACUCUCCUGAGACAUCGAGUCACCUACACAUGGAACAAACAAAGAAACUAUAUUCCGAGACUAAGUUAUCUCCAACUUGACUCAUUAGCAGCAAACAAUAGUAUUACAUACGUAUAGUAUCCAUCUAGAAGUCAUAAUCAUGAAAUAAACUUGGAUAUCCAAAUAAACAACCCGAAACCGAAACCGAUACAGUGUCGGCCGGUCAGACCGCGGGCUGCGCCGGUCUGACCGCGCAUUACACGCCGGUCUGACCGGCUACCAGAGCCCAGUCUGACCGGUCCACAUAAAAUGAUAACCCUGCGAUUCACCUGUAAAUCCAAUCAUCUCCAAAACCACUUCGUGAAUAAAUUCCAAAUAACAAAACCAAUAAUCUCCAAUGCCCAAUUGUUCAUCACAGAAUAAUAAUCAAAAACACCUUUGAUUUUACAGAGACGUGGGUUGUCCUCCAGAUGGAGCUCUCCCUGCUGUACGACAUCAUGUACACCAAGGCUGGCGUCAUCCACACGUGGCAUGGCUACUGCAUCCGUGUCUUUUCGCCGCUGGCCACCGCCGGUGCCUUGGUGAUGUUCCAUCUCAGCCUCCACGGCGCCCUUGGGCAUGGGGCUAUGCUAGUCGACGUGGCCAUCACCUACACAUUGCUGGUUGGCGCCGUCCUUGUAGACACAUGGUGGCUGCUCAUGGCAGCCGGGUCGACCUGGGCGUACGCCUUCUUGAUCCGCAUGCCGCUGCGGGGUUGGCUGUACCACGCGGCGGUCUGCAGCGGACGAUGGCGCCAGGUCGGCCGCGCGCUCACGUGGAUCCGCUGGCUUGUCAAUGCGGAGGACAGCAGAAGGUGGUCCGGCACCAUCUGGCAGCACAACAUGUUGCAGUACUGCACACGCGACGGCUCCAAGGACGUCUGGUACGACCUUGCCAAGAAGAUACAUGUCAAGUGGCGCAAGAAAGACAACACCUACUCCGGCACCACGGUCAUUCCUGAUCGUGUCAUGGAGCAGGUGUUCAGCUAUUUGCUAGAUAUAAUAAGAAUCGACGUCGACGUACAAUAAGGAUUGCGAGAUCGAUAAUAAGGAUAAAUUAAGAUGAUCAAGAUGCAGCACCAACGGGGCAACCGGGUAUCCCAUUGGACUCGACGGGGUUGCUCAAGGCAGAAAUGUACGACUUGUUCUUGAGGUUAGUUCGCGACGAGAUCCAGCAGCAAAUCAUUAUCUGGCACAUCGCGACGGACAUCUACCUCCGCACCUCCGACAAGGCAGAGACCACCGAGUAUGUUGAAGCAAUCAAUCUUAUUUCCAACUACAUGAUGUUCCUAGUUCUGGAACGUCCCUACAUGGUACCUGGCCUUGCACUACGCACUAUUUACAGUGAAACCAUCCGAGAUAUCAACAAAAUUAGGAUCUAGUCAUCCGUCCAGAAAACACAGAGCCUUGCCAAGCAGCUGGGAGUCACCGACCGGGACCCCAGUAAGGUCUCGCUCAAUGCUCUGCCGCUUGCCCUCCUUCUAGUCAAAAAGCUCAACAAAUACGACGGGGCCAGUGUGGAAUUUCUGUUCAAGGUGUGGGUGGAGAUGCUCCACUACGUUAGCCACCGAUGCAGCAGGGAGUCCCACGCCAAGCAACUCAGCAGCGGCGGUGAGCUCGCAACGCUUGUGUGGAUUAUGGCGUAAGAUGCUCGCAAUUUUUAUAUCAGGAAAAACAAACUUAAUUAACCCGACAGUAAUUAUGGAUCUGUUUGGUUGCUGUCACUAAUUAGGCUGGCUUGUAACUCUUGUCUUGGCCAAGCUCAGCCUUGCUAGUCACAUGCAUGCAAAAAGAUUUGUUUGCUGGCUGGUAUUAGUUAGGGACAAUUGGAUAUAUGCCAUUACAAAUAUGCUCGUUUAGAUAAAUACCACUUCUAUUCGUCUAUUAAAUUCAUGUCAUUUAAAUUUGCAGAAAAAUUGAUUUGUGCCACUACCGUUAUGUUUUUCGUCAAAUCCUUUUCUUUCCUCAUCCCCCUUGUUUUCUUUUCUUCUUCUUCACAUCCCAUUGAGGACAGAAGCCUCAAAGGCCACCGGCGAGAGCUCGUGCACGUGAGCGCUGGGUGGAGCAUGACGGUCGUGGCCGCGGGUGUGAGCAAGAGGCAGCCGCAUGUGGAAAUCCAUAUUUAGUUUUAGCCGGUCCCUCAAGGUGCGCAUCGUGUUAUUACAGAUAGCUUCUUAACUAUGUUGCUCGGGUAAAUUGAAACAAUUUUCAAGGCGGUGGGCGGCUUCUUAGGCCAUUCUCAACCCAAUGACUAGGAUGAUAUCUAUAGCAUUAAAUAAACUGCCACCUAGGAUGAAAAAUGAUGUGGCAAGUGAAUAAAUGAGGAAAGAGAAUGAAACUAUGUCUUACAUGAGACAUGGUUUCUGUCACACCCUAAAAAUCCUAAAUAUAUAAAUUGUUGUUUAAUUGGAAUUAUUAUAAUUUAUUUUAAAAGCCUAGAAGAGAAGAUCUAAUUUUAAUUAAUAAAUUCCAAUAUAAAAUGGGGCCAGAUAAAAUUUCAUUAAAUACUUUGCUUAACUCUAUAAUUCCUAGAUUUUUCUGGGAUUUAUUUGAGCUAAGGAAGUAUUUUUAAUAAAUGGAAUUGCAUUUAAUGGAUAAUUUAAAUUGGAAAAGGUUUUUAAAGUCUCUUUUGGUUUUGGGCCGAAAGUCGGCCCAAAACCUUCUCUCUCUCUCUCUCCUGGCCUAAUCCGGCCCGCAGCCGAGCCGCCCGCUCGCGCGCGCGUCCACCCGCUGACAGGUGGGGCCCACCUGUCAGGGCCGUCGUCUUCCUCCGACCGCCCGAACCCUAGCACCGCGCCGCCGUCGUCUCCUUCCAAAUCCACCCGCCCCUUUCUGUUUCCGAUGAAAUUAAUAGAAGGGAAAUGAUCCCCGGGAUCCCCUCUAUCUUUUCUCUUAUGGAAUCGUCGGUUAAUUUCGUUUGGAAAUUCACGGAUUCGAUCUCGAAUCGGAUUUGUCUCUCUCUCCCGGACCCUAAUCUUUCCAUCGCGUCGCCGGUCGCCGUGGGCCUUCGCCACCGCCUCCUUGCCCCUUUAAAAGGACCCCCAAGCCCGCCGCUACCUGCCGCCACCCUUGCCUUUGCCCGCCGCUGUCGGUAGCGCCCUAGCACCGUGCAGCCGUGCGCCGCCGUCGCCGCCGUUCGUCCAGCCGUGCGCCGCCGCCGCUCCGGUCGUCGUCGUCGCUCGGGAAGGCCGCCGUCGUGAUCGCCAAGCCAUCGCCGACCUCGUCCGCCCCUCCGUCGUCGCCGUAGGCCACCGGAACACCGUCGCCGUCGUCAAGCCGAUCAUCUCCGCCGCCUUUUCCUCACCGCCGUCGCCGUCCGUUGAUCUUCCGCCGUUGUUUUGGUCACCGGUGAGUUCGCCGCGUCGCCCUCUACGUGUUGGUGUCCUCUGUUCGUGCCGCCGCGCCGUCGUUCGCCGGCAAGCAUGCACGCCCGAGCCGCCGCCGGUAGUGACAUCUCCGCUGACGUCAUCGUCGUCGUUCCCCGUGGCCUGGUCGUAGACCGUUGGAUCUUGGCCGUCCGUUUUGGAUAGGAUCGAUCUCGGCCGUUCGUUUCCGUGAGCCACCGCCGUGCACCCGGUCCACCGCGAACCCUAGCCACUGACGCAAUAAUUCCCUUUUCCUUUUCAAAAAUAAUUCAUUAUUGCGUCAUAAUUCAAUUAAAAUCUAAAUAAAUGAUUUAAUCCGAUUUAAUCUUUGAAAAUUCAUAACUAAUUCAUCUUAGCUCGGAUUUAGUUGGUUCAAGUCUCUAAAUUUUUCUAAAAUUGAGAUCUACAUGUUAAAAAUAUCCACAUGUACUGUUCAUGCUUGUUUAUGUGCUGUUUUGGUGUUUUUUCUCUUUUCUGUUUAGAUUCCGACGUUUCCGAAGAGUUCGUUUUCGCACUAGAAGAAUUUGAAGAGUUCCAAGGCCAGCAAGGCAAGUCACACAGGUCCCAAACAACCCUUUGAGCAUGUUGAUCCCGUUUAAAGCUAUUUUUUCUAUUCAACUAUUGCAUUUAUUUUCGAAUGUCAUUGGGUGGAAUUAACCUAUUGUUUGUUAUAGCCCUUUUGUUCUUGAUUACUUUAUUCCUUGAU
Molecule: long non-coding RNA, 67788 nt
Filed under: Oryza sativa (Asian cultivated rice)
Lineage: Eukaryota; Viridiplantae; Streptophyta; Magnoliopsida; Poales; Poaceae
Description: long non-coding RNA (OSAT_LNC000687)
Rfam family: MIR821 microRNA precursor family (bases 52453-52726)
Source: RNAcentral